This 61019-nucleotide long non-coding RNA is filed under the name Fragaria vesca (wild strawberry). RNAcentral describes it as "long non-coding RNA (FVES_LNC000695)". Lineage: Eukaryota; Viridiplantae; Streptophyta; Magnoliopsida; Rosales; Rosaceae. The record is from RNAcentral.
AGAGGUGAUGUCGGUGGUGCUCACGAAGGUGAAGACCAUUGCGUUGUCAAUGUGUUACAGGUGUCGGCACAAGUGACAUUCAACAUUACGACAAUACCGGCUUGAAUAUGGUUGAAUACUACUGAUGGUGAGUUGAAGAUUGCACGGCCUCUGAAAUCUUAAGCGUUUAUAGCAUGCGAGUCAAGAUUGCAACUUCAAUUAAGAUGGAGCGAUAAUGUCGUUGGAAUGAGCAAUGAGGGGCUAAAUACACAUUUUCCCUGUUAAACUUAUAAAUUCAAUCAAAACUGUUGCUCUAUUAAAUUGCAAUUAGAGAUCAAAUGGUCAAAAUUGACAAAAGCCACAUCAACUUUCAAAUCUGAAAUUGACAGAAGCAUUUUGACAUCUCCAUCGGAGAUACUCUCUAAAUGACAUUUAGGAGUCAUUAAAAUAAAAAUGACACUGAGAGAAGGCAAUGUCAAAUUUUCCUUACUCUCUUAUACUUGUCCAAAUAGUACGCACACCAAGCAUACUCUUUUCAAAUGAUUGUUUAAUACAUUGUAAAUAUUCAAAUUAGACAAUUUUAUUGGAGAUGAGAUUAAUUAACCAAAUUAGCAAAUGCUAUUUUUAGCCUUGUCACAAGUUAAAUUUUGAAUUUGAUAAAAAAAAUUGACAUCUUUAUUGAAGAUGCUCUAAGGUCAUGCGGUUAGAUUUUCAAUCAAAACAAAGAUAAAAGAGAGAUAUUAAUGCUCAUCCUUGUCAUAUACUCGUUCACACGAAAUUCAUAAACUACUGGAUGAAAGGAUGAAGCAAUAUACAAAGACAAGGAUUUUGGGGUCAACCAUGCAAUGGUUGUAUCAUCAACUGUAUCAUGCUUACGCGUCGAUACAGAGUAUUGCUAUAUAUGCCAUUAACAAAUGGCAAUACAGCAUUUUCUAUUUCAAUUUUUGAAGAAAGAUACCUACUAGGUAGUACUUGUACACUCUAGUACAAGACACAUUAAGAUAAGAACUGGAAAAAUUAAGUAAAAGAAAGCUACAGUUAAAACUCUCUUGAUUUUGAUCGGGAUCAAUGGAAUGCAGCUGCUGCAGCUCUUGCAUUCUUAGCUGUUGGAAGAUCCGGGGGAGGAGAUGGUAACAUAGUGAGAGCUAGGAUACCACUCAAUACAGCGGCGAUGGCUCCAACCACAAAUGCCGGCAAAUUACCACCACCAAAUAGAGCAUCCCAUGGUCCACUUGCUACUGACACUACCAUCUGCAUAAAUCGAUCAAAAAAUUCAUAUGAGAAAUCGAAAUUAAUCAUCAAAACCGAAACCUCUUCGAUCUGUUGCAUGCAGCCAGCGCGCGCGAGGUUUAUUACCUGUGGCACAACAAUUGCAAGAUUCAAGACUCCUAAAGAAAGCCCUGCAAAAUCCAGAGAUCCGAUCCAAGUUGGUCAGUUACAGCAUUGUUCUUCAUGUGUAACGUACGUCCAUAUAUGAUGCAUCUAUAAAUAGUUUGGUACUGUUGGAAACUCUACCUUGGCCUGCACCAGAAUUGCUGCAAAAUAUGGAUGCUAGAGCAAAGGGAACACUGUAGGUUAUCUGUAGGUUCAUGUAUAGAAUAUCAAUGAAGAUCGAGAUCAACAGGAGGAAGCAGAAAGAAACAACACUAUAGUUGCUACAAAACAACACACCAUAACCAAACUGGGACCAAAAAUCAAUAGACUGUAAAAGUUGGCCCAGUGCAAAUAAAUAUUACAGAGUCGACCAAAUUUGGCUGGACUCGACAGAAGCACAAGCAUUGUCAAGAAGUUUCAACACGAAACGAAACCGCUUGCUGUAAAGUCUAAACUUGUAAACAUUAAAAUAAUUAAUCUCAUGGUUUUCCCAUAUUAAUUUGAUACGGCAUAUUAAUUUGUUUCAUAAUCUCAGACAACAAAAAUACUUGUUUCAAAACUGGGACAGGUUACUGAGGUCAGUAACCAGAGAAAUGUAUUAUUAAUGAAUCAUGUAACAGACCUAAUUAAACCACCGUCCAAAUACGUGAGUAUGUCAUAUGUAUGUAUGUGUAUAUUAGAAGUAGUUGUAUUAUUAUUUGUCGCAGCUAGGUCAGAUGUAAAGGUGUGGUGAAAUGUGUUAACCUUAUCUGCAUGCGUUUGAAUAGAAACCAAAAAAUGACGCAUGUAUCACGCAGAAAUUUAUGCCCAAGCUAGAGAGAGUUUAAUUAACUGCUACUUACCGCCUGAGGUAUACCCAGGAGAGCAAAGAGAGCCAGCGCACCCGCCUUGAUACCGGCCGGGGGCGGAGGUGGCUGAGCUCCGGAGACUGAAACGGCGCCGUGUCGAGCGGACUGAGCUAGUUUGGUGAUCAAGACAGUCAUGGCCAAACAGAUGGCGAGGAGAAAGUUGACAAGGCCCCACAAGCGCUUGACCCCACCAAGGGCACGCGCCAGAAUCUCAAUCCCGAGAGAGACGCAGCCCAAGACGACGGAGUUGAGCAUGAGGCCGAGGGCACCGGCUCUGACCCCCAAGUCAUACAGCCUGCCAUUGCCGACCUCACCUCCGUACACCUCCCUUCCCAUCCAGUCAGUGUCGAACAGUAAGAAAGGGAACCAUGCAAUCCAGUUGAGGCAUGUCACCACCAACAGGAUCCACAUCGGUCUCUGCAGCUCCUUAAACGCGGCUACAAUUUCGGUGAAGAAGGGCACCGCUGGUGCGAUCUCCUCAUCCACGACUUCCGGAGUCGGCUCCGGGACGGAUGUGAGUGCGAGGAUGGUGAGGGCGAUGAGGAGAGCGAUGGAGAGGAAGAAGCAGGUUUUGAGGUUGGCGCAGUAGACGUCGCAGGCUUUGGUCAUGGUGAAGGGGAGCAUCUUAUGGAGAUGAGUGUAGGACCCGGCGGAGAAUCCGAGGACGUUUCCGACGGCCAUGAAGAAAGAGUAGAACCCGUUGGCGGUUCGCAUUUUCCUGGUGUCGGAGCCGGAGAUGUCGGCCAGGAGCGCACGGCAGGGGCCUUGUAACAUGUUGUUGGCCACGUCGAGGAUCCAGAACCCGACCACGAACACGGCGAUGGCGCGUGGCUUGGUGGGCUUGUCGAGGGAGUCGCCGAAGAGGUGGCCGAGGUCGGCGGCGUAGCCGAUGAGGAAGACGGCGAUGGCGACGAGAGAGGAGCCGGCGACGAUGAAGGGACGGCGUCGGCCGCAGCGGUCACUGUGGUAGCCGACGAUGGGUUGGACAAGCAUGCCGGAGACGGGGCCGCAGAGCCAGAUGAAGGCGGCCCAGGUGUGGGGGAUGCCGAGGAGCUGGACGUAAGGGGUUAAAAGUGAGAGCUGUAGAGCCCAUCCGAAUUGGAUUCCGGCGGCAAUGGAGGCGACCAGAAUGAUCUUUCUCAAUGGGGUUGAUGGGAUAGUCUGAGGCUCUGGCUCUGGCUCUGGCUUUGGCUUGUGGAUGGUUUCGACUUCCAUGGUUGGGUGGCAACCCUAAUUUCUUACAAGCAAGCUAGGCCGGGAUGUGGAAAAUGAAGUGAGAUGGAGGGAGGAUGAGAGUGAUGAGUGAGAUCGAGGGGUGCAUGGAAAUUUAAGGAGGGCGAGGUGGUGUUGGAUCAAGGCAACUGGCAAAGGGUGGCGGCCUUAUCCGUUUAGGAGUUAAGCGUCACAGUCUGAGACUCAUGCCAAGUGUACAAAACGCCAUUACUACUCUGUUUCCUUUCUCGGAAUUCCAGACCUUGAUACCUUCCUUCAUUUUUAUGCAGUUUCAUCUCUAAUUUCAAACUAAUCAAUAGAUUUAUAAUUCGAAUCGAAGGUAAUCUAGUUACAACAUUUUCUUGCCAUCUAUCUCAUUUGGUGUCACCAUAAAGUCUUUCCCUUUGAUGUAUAAACUUUUCUUUCUCUUUCUUUUAUCUUUUUGGACCAAAAAAAACUUUCAUUACUUUCCAUCUUAACUCUCUUUGAUUUGAGGUAAACAUGUUCAAAUUGGUGUUGGAAGUUUUAACUUAUAGAUAUAAUUAAUGGCAUCUGUAAUGAGAACUCUUACGUUCUCUUAAAGUUUAAGGUAAAUUUGUUCAAAUUGCAUUAUAUGGUAGGUAGGUGUUUAUUAUAAAAGGAUCACCUGAACGUACUGUUGAUGUUAUAUACUUUUUUUUUUUUUUCUUUUGGGAUAACCGAAUCAUGCAAUUCAAAUAUUCAUUAACAUUUGCUCAAAUGGAAAACGUUCAACUAAUCGAGAGAGUUUAACGUCCACUACUUGGAAUCCGAGCCUUUUCCUUAUGAACUUCAAGAAUUACAUACCUCUUGUUCAUCGAGUAACUCAAGUCAUUGAAGUCCAACAAUUUAAUUGUUAAUAACUUACCAGGAAAGCUUAACUGUAUAGGAAAUCACAACGAUUAAAUGCUUAUCUUUGAAUUAAUUGUCGAAUCAACCUUUCCUAUUUUUACCAGGAUUGACCAAGUUUGGCCUGUGUUUUACCCAUCAACAUUAAUACUAGUACCCUAAAUGGAUAUCAAUAUAACAUUUAACACACGUGUAUACUUUUACUUCCAAUCUGCAUACACUUAACAUUUUAGUCGCAUAGCAAUGCAAUCCGUAUACACUUAAAUUACAAUUACAAUAUUGACAACAAAAGUUAUAACAUUGCUUUUAUACAUUUACAAAUAAUUGAACCGAGUUUCCACAUCAACAACAAUUUAUUCAUAAAAUUGUAAAAAUGUCAUAGGUAGAGUAAUUACUUCUAAUCGAAGUAAAGUAACCUAAAAAUGACUCUUUAGAACAAUGACAAUAAUUUUGUUGUAAUAUUUGUAAAUGAGGGUAUCACAUACCUGUAUGCACCUAAGAAUUUUCAUUUUUGAGAAAGUAUAUAAUUUCGUUAACUUAUCUAUGGCUAGAAAAGACACGUACAUCAAGUGAUGUCUUCAUAUUAGAAUCAUACAGGGCACAAGCCGCUAGCCUAUAAACAAUAUGAAAUGAAACUAAUCGAUCUAUCAACUCUAUGAAACGUAAAAGUAGUCGCCUAAAGACCUAAAUUGAUAUACAACUAACGAACAUAGAAUUAAACAGGAAUAAUCUUUAGUCAAAUCUAGACAAUUGUAGGACUAGAUCAGUAAAUUAGAUGAAACCCCUAGAUCUACUGAUGGGCUGGGCCAGAAUCAAGCAAUUCAAAGAUGGUCAGCAACCCGCCAUGAACAAACAUACAGCCUUAUACUUAAUUCAAUGUCGUUCCAUCCCGGUCAAAAAGCCAUCAUUUCAUAGCAAAACUAAGUUGUAAUAGUUGUUCCAACAAACCAAAACUUCACCACUGCCAUCAUGACUAAACGAAUCACACUCCCCUUCCGAACACCUCCGCAUCCAAUGAAACACCGAAAAUUCUUCUAUGCACCAAGAUGUAAGUGAACCGAGCGCGCAACUAAUAUGUAAUAUUUUGAUCUGGUCAUUUACGUCGCACUACAUACAUAUAUACUAAUACCGUUAACAAAAUUGAAACCUAAAAUAUAUAGUUUCAAGUGUUUCCAACUAAGGAGGUGAGACACUAGGUCGAAGACUCGAAGAAUAUGUACUCUUAUUAUGAGUGUUUAAUUUGAUCGAAUCAAAAAUGAAAUUAAAAUGAAAGAAAUUAGGGUCUUUAAUCUUCAUUCGAUCUUCUCAUACAGUGAUUUGAGCACUUACACAUUAAUGGUGCAAGUGCAUAUUGGUGUGUAGAAUCCGCUCCGAUGAAACACAAGCUAAACCCUCUUGCAAACCGCAACAAAACUUAGUAGUUGAUCCUUGACUAGAGAAUUGAACCACAAACAAGCUAGCUAGGUACACCGUCUAGAAGCCAUCACUCCCAUCAGUUCGGCAUGUGAGUGACACUGCCCAAAAUACCCGUCCGACAACGACAUACUAAAGAAGCGCCGCCGAACGUAGAUUAAAAUUCUCUACUUUUUUUUUUUGUCUAACUGCUAGAGCGACACAAAUUUAUAGCAGUGUGUAUAUAAGGUAAGUGGUUUUGAACACCAUACAAUGUUAUUAUUGGGUUUACUAAUGCUUUGGUUGCUGAAGCUACAACAUUGCAAGAAGGUCUCCAUACUAUGUUCUUGCACCGGUUACCGGUAUACAUACAAAUGUAGUGCAUGGUUGAAGGUGAUGAUUUGAAAGUUGUGAUUGAUUGUCUUCGGAGUAAGGUAAAUAGGCGAAUACCCCAUGGUGUACCGAGACGUUAACACAAGACAUCCAUCAGCUGACUUCUUUUUAUCUAUUAUGUUGUCUAUUGACUUGUCCAUCGGGAAGCGAGUUUUAUAGCUGAUUGGUUAGCUAACUUAGCUCAUGGGCAGGGGUGGAGCCAUGAUUAUAUAUUAAGGGGGGCCGAGUUACAAAGUGAAAAUACAUAAUAUUCAACAAUUGAGUAAUUUUAUAUGAAUACAAUAUCAAAAGGUAAUUAACUUUUAUGUAUUGGACAGUUAAAAAAUAAGUUACUAAACUGGAAAGAAAAAAUGAAAUUUGGAAUUCAUUAAAUACAUAGAGAAAUAACUGAAAUGAUUUUAUCAAUUACAAAGUAUUUGUACAUAAUAGAAUGAUAAAAAAGAAAUUAUUCAUUAUGGUGAGUUGAUUAAAUAUUAUGGAUAGAGUAUAUGACAAGAGUUGAUUAAGGUAGGAGAAAUAAAUUGGAUAAAUUAAACUUAGUAACAACAAAUGGUGUUUAUAGUUUAAUAGGAAAGGAACGGGGCCAAACCUCUAAAUUAGAAAGUUUUUACAUCUAAAUGAUCUAAUUAUAUCAAACUCCUUAAUAAGUAAAGUCUAAUACACAAGUUCAAAAAAAUUACAGGGGUGCCUUAGCCUCAAUAGAGCUCCGCCUGUGCUCAUGGGUCACAGUCUCCGUCAGUUCUUGCCUAUACUCUUAGUGUGUGUCCUAACAUUCCAUCUAGAUCAUCAAAAAAAACAAAAAAACACGGUUCUUUACGCUUAAAUGCUUAAUGAAAUAUACCAAAUUGGGCCAUACGCCACCAAAAAGAAAAUAUAUAUAUAUAUAAACGUGUCUUAGAAGUUAGACCACACAACCAAUCUUGGUAAAAAAGAAGCAGCAUCACAAUUUGCCACCACGAGUAACCAUUCACGCAAAGUAGGAUCCUCUAAUUUCCAACUCCAUGAUAACCAUUAAUUGUAAUUUGUUUCUUUCGAUCGUCAGGGAGAGAAGCGGAAGGUGGAAACCUCUGGUAAGUUGGGUAAAAUAAAUACUGCAUUGGUAGUGCAUCUGAUCCUCAUACUCAAGCUGGAGGAGUGGGACUGAUCAGAAGAGAUGCUACUUGUCACUAUUUAGGUUGUGAGUACCAUUCGAUUUCACAUGUUGCUUCACUGGAACAAGUUGAAGCAAUGGCAAUCAAGGAGGGCAACCGUAUCACUCUCUUGUCACUGAGCAAGGCCUUCCUCCGGUGAUGUUUGAGACCAACUUAAUCACCUCAUACGUACCCUCAUCUUCGGGUGUGAUGACAUUACCUUUUGUCUCUAUAUAUUAGAUGAAAGUAAAUUUGCCGACCAUCUUUUACUUGCCCACCUCAAUGUCCAUCAUCUAGAUUAGUGACACAUGUUCAUUUGAUUAUCAAGAAUAAAGUCAAACUAUCUGAAGAGACAUGUGUCACUAAUCUAGAUUGUGGGUAUUGAGGUGAUCAACUAACAACAAGUAGUCGACAAAUUUGUAUCCGUAUGUGUCAUUAAUCUAGAUGAUAGACAUUGAUAAUCAAAUGGGUAUGUGUUGGAAGCGAAUUUUCCAAUUUCUUUUUACUAGCCCACCUCAAUGUCCAUCACCUAGAUCCUUAUUUUUGCUCUCAGUCAAGCUAAUAUUGUGGCUUUUAAAUUAGUUUCUCAUUUUCUAGUGUUUCAUCGCUUGACUGGAGCAUCACGCCUCCUGCUUCUAUUUAUGAUAUAGUUACAAAGAGGAUAGUUCCUUCUCGUUGAUCAGAGCAUCUCCAACAGCUUUCCUAAAAUUUCUCUAAAAUGGGGAAACAAAAGCUAAAAUCUCCAAAAAAUUAUGAUCAAAAUCCAGCAGCUUCUCCAUUUUAGAGAUUUUGGCAUUUAAUACAACAAUAAAAUAUAAUAUAUCAUCAUGAAUUAUAACAAAAAAACAUUAUAUAUUUUAUUGUAACAAUAAACUACCCAAUCAAAUAUUUUAUUGUUGUUUUAAAUUCGUUGGAGUACGUGAAAAAUUUAAUUUUGGGGAAGCAAGGUUUUGCUGCAAAUUUAGGGAAUGAAUGCUUCUUUUUCUUCUUCAUCCCCAUUUUGGGGAAUGAGACAGGGAAGUUGUUGGACCUAAAAACAACUUUAUAUUCCCUAAAAUUAAGAAGUUCAAGAAAAUGGAGAAGCUGUUGGAGUUGCUCUCAGAUUCUGGUUAUAGUCAAUUAGAAAGGUGACCAAAUAUGUAUCAGUUAUAUAUGAACUGUCUCACAAAAAAGAGUCGUGCUGGUUGGAAACGCAAUUAUAGAUGAUGCUGACGACGGUUUGGUUUGGUGGUCUUGUUUCGAACCCCAAAAUCUGCAACAAUGAAGAGACACCAGAGAUCAUCUCCUCAUUCAUUGUUGACUUUGGAGCAAGAGGUGACCACUUGCUGUUGCCCUUAUUAAAUCAUCUUUGAUGAAGGAAGAGGUGUCCAAAUGUAGUAUAGUUUCUUAUUCAUUUAUCAUGUCUUUAUAACAAUAUAUAAUAUUCGGCCGACUGAACACAUAUCAGUUUAGUUAUCUGAAAACCUGGAGAACACACACAACAACAUAUAAUAUUCGACCGACCGAACACACAACGGUUUAGUUAUCUAAAGAUGUGGAAAACACACAACGGUUUAGUCAUUGAAAUGUGCAAAAAAAUGUUACUCCAUUGGGACGGUCACUGAGUUUGACCCAAGUAUGCAGUCGAUCAAAUAAAUGUCGAAUGAAGAUGACAUUCAUAGAUUCAUUCCCGUGUAGGAAACAAAAUAUGAGAGACCCUGUGUGUAUCAUAUAAAGAGUAUAGUGUAUACUAUAUAACUUCAUAUAUCUUCCCCUGCAACCAUAAGUUUCAUAUUUACAAAAUGCAACUGGUCUCACUCACUGGUUUCCAUCUGAUCAAAACUCAUGAAACACCUCCCUUGUGUCAAAUUUAGAGCGCCUAGCAGGGAAGAUUAUCUUUUACACACACUGAAGAUUAGAAAGAUGGACCAACACAUACUAGUAUUGAUGUGUGCAACUUAGAGCCUGCGCAUUGUGUCAACUCCAUCAAUGACAUCCAAGAACUUGACCCAGGUGAUAUCGGAGUCUAUUGGCCUGGACAACAGAUUCUCAAUGGGAAGUUUAUCUUUUGCUAGGAAUUCUCUGCUACUCUUACUCAGCCUGUGGUGUUUGCUUAACCUGCUGGCCUUUCCUGCGUCAAAAUUCUGACUUUUACUUGUUCCGAGCCUGAUGUUGUUUGUAGACACAUCCUGAAGCAUCUCCUGAUCUUCAGCUGUUAACACAUUCGUCCUCUGGUUGCGGGUUUCAACAGGUGACGAUGGCAUUCCACCAUGGCCAACCCCUGCCUGGCUGAUCAGAUAGUGUAGCAAGACUACUAGUUCACAAAUAUAAGCUUCAGUUUUUUUCUCAUUGGCAAUGGUGUAGAGUCUCAAUCCUCAGAGUAUCAGUCAAGCCAGUGCGCCAGCUCGCCUCAAACCUAACAAGAUGAAUUAGAAAAGUUCAAAGAAUAUAUGAAAACAGUUACAGAUAAACACACGAGAGACAUAUAUAUAUAUAUAUAUAUACACACAGGGCCCUUCCAAUGAGGGAUCCCUAUUUUAAGCCAUUUAUAGGGAUAUGGCAUUACACCAACUUCCCGAUUAUAAUUUUACAUCUCCACCGUUCAUAUCUUAGGUCUAUAUGAGUAGAUCACCUCUACAAAAUUUCAUAUGAUUUGGUGAUCGUUAAGACUUUCAAAAGUUCAAUUUAGUUUUAAUGACCUUCAACGGUUUUAGUUUGACAUAAGCUGGACCGUNNNNNNNNNNNNNNNNNNNNNNNNNNNNNNNNNNNNNNNNNNNNNNNNNNNNNNNNNNNNNNNNNNNNNNNNNNNNNNNNNNNNNNNNNNNNNNNNNNNNNNNNNNNNNNNNNNNNNNNNNNNNNNNNNNNNNNNNNNNNNNNNNNNNNNNNNNNNNNNNNNNNNNNNNNNNNUGUGUGUGUGUGUGUGUGUGUGUGUGUGUGUGUGUGUGUGUGUGUGUGUGUGUGUGUGUGUGUGUGUGUGUGUGGGCACGCUGAAACACUCACCUUGCAUUUGCCCAUUCUCCAACCCAUCCAAAGCCAUGAAGAGCUCUUCAAUAACAAAAUUACACUUGAAAUCAGUGAAAUUGAAGUAACAGAAAUAUUUGUUAACAAUGAAAUGGUCAGACAGAUAUAAGCAGGAAGAAAAAGUCCCCAAUAAACUACUUAAGAACUGAUCAUGGAACCAAAAGAAGUCUUACAUAACCAAGGAAGGGUAUUUUCACUGUCAGCAAUUUCAUGUUAGAAAGGAAAGCUAAGUGACAACAUUUUUCUUCCAUUCCACAUUAUGGCCCAUGGACACAUACAUUGAUAAGAAUUUUCCAGCUGUAGGGGAUUACAGGUUUAUUAGUAAGGGUUAAUUGCAAUUCAAUACAUGUGUUUUCAGUCAAACAACCCCUAUUAACUUACCAGCCUCAUGCAAAUAAAUUUUGACAAACAGCUCCUAUGAGCGUCACCUGUUUCUAUUACCUCUUGAGGUCGAGUACAUGGGGAUGGGGAAAUAAAUGCCCGGACAUUCAAAAUUAAGGGUUUUUUUAUUUGUUUGAGAAGCAAAUUAAGUGUUUUCAAUCUGCAUUGCGAAUAUUACUCUUCGGGCGAAAGAGUCAUUUACCAUUUCAAGGAGCAGGAAAGUUAACUUUUUACCAUUCUAUCACCCUACAUGUCUGUGCGCCCCAGAACCAAGGUUUGGCUUGCAUGAGGCCGGUAAGUAACAACACGAGGGAUUACUAAGGAUGCAAAAUUGCUGAACUGAAAUUGCAAGGUAGAAAAACAAAAAACAAAAAUAUAACCAACUAAGAAAUAAAAUAAAAAGCGGGUGCUAGAUGUUUCCAAGCCCAACUAAAGAUUUGAUAUAAGGUAGCGGUUUUACUUUGUUGUGUUAGUGGCAAUGGGAACAAGCCAAUCCAAAGUUCGCUUCAUUUCAGCUUUGAUUUGAGGAAUGGUGAGCUGCAAGAACAUCAUAUUUAGAGGUAAAGUUCUGCAUAAAAUGACGGAAGGAAAUUUCAUUUGGAACAACAUUGCUACAAAAAAACAUCUAUGAAGAUAGUAACAUUCUAAUUGGCAAUCAUAUACAGAAAGCAUACAACUCAACCUCAACUAACUGAAAUUUUGAGCGCAGAGCUGACUUGACACUGCAUGGUAGUCCCUCAUACAGAGUAUCUAUCACACUUUGAGGCACUAAACUUGAUCGAGACACCUGGUUACAUUUAGACAUUACUCAGCAUAAGGUCAUGAUCUCUAGGAUUCUAUAUUUUGCAUUGCCUGAAUCUCUUUUAACUUAUCAUUUUAAUAAACAUUGAUCGUGUCUGUAUUAUACUAGACUUUGCAACAAAAAUAUGAAAAAUCAUUCUUAUAUAUACCAAGAAUAAACCGUAAUGGGCAAUCUAGACCUUGUAUUCUUAUAAUACUUGGAAAAGUUAUAUUUACAGAAAAUAAAACAAUCAUGUUUCUCAUAGAUUUAUGACCCAAUGGAGCAAGACAGUUCAGGCACAUUCAGGUGAUAGACUAUAAAGGAGGCAAUUUAAAACAUGUUUCAACUGAAAGUGGUAAACCUAUAUCAUACUAUAAAAAAUAAAAAAACCGGUAAAGGCAAUAGCAGAGGAUGAAUCUAAACUUACAAGUGUGUUAAUUUGCGUAAUAAUAUGUGCGUAGUGUAAGGAAGGUCCAGUAGGCCCCAACCUUUUACAGUUACUCUGAGUACGUUUCACUGGUUCAUCAUCAUCUGCAAGGGGGAGGGGUAGACAUCAGGAAGCUUUCCACAUAUCAUGAUCACCUUCAUCUACUUAAAACACUUAAAUCUAUUAUCUUCUGUUUGACGAAACAGCAAUAUGAGAAAUGAAUAUCUGAUUCGAUGGUAAUAGAUUCUAUGAACGACUUUCUUGUGGUUCGAAUAGAGCACUGUCCUAUCAAAGCCUUCUAGAAAGUAAAUGAUAACAAUGGUGGCCUUUAAAAUGAGGAUAUAAAAUUAUAUUAAUCAUGAAUUCAUAAUAAAGGAAAUUAGAGAGUUCCUGGUCCAUAAUUGAAUGCAUACCAGGACUUCCAAAAGCUUCAUGAAUCUUUAAGUGUAAUAAUUGUACAAUGUCAACAAGCUUCGGCAUAACCUGUAAUCACAAGAUAUUAGAUAAUAAUUCCAUGGUUGUUUUGUUUUUUCUUUUUUUGGUAAAACUGGUUGUUUUUUUUUUUUUUAAAUGAUUGAUUUAUCAGGUGAAAGAUUAACUCACCCCAUUACUUCAUGAGAACAUGCAUAAUGACUAAAAUUUUCAGGAAACAGAGAAAAUCAAUUAACCUCUAUAUUCCAAUAUUAAAUUCUACAGCACUGUACAUUUGAAAUCAUUAUUUUCCUGUGGUCACAAAGGCAGAAGACAUUUUCCUCAACUGCCAAUGGAAAUGACACACAAGGGAAGAGGUAUCGAUCAUAUUAUUUUCUUUUUCUUUUCUUUUUUGAAGGAAAAUUAAUUGAGUGGCAGAUUUGUAACUGAGGUUUUGUAACAUUUGCAAACAAUAUAUACCUUUUCUUCAAGCUGGUGCGAACAUUUUAAUAUGGGUUUUAUUGGGUAGGUUUGUGCUCUAUGAUUUUUCUGUAAACUACUUUUGAUAAGAAAAUAGGUAUAUUGCAGUCAAUAAUUAAAUGAAUACUGAGGGUCAGUAACCUGUUGCAGAAAUAAUACUAAGAAAAAGAUAAGAAAUUAGGUGGUCUUUUCAGGUAUAGCUGCUGCCAAAUCUUCCGUAAGUGAAAUUUUCUACAUAUUCUAUGCAAAAUGUGCACAUAUUGAACCUAAAAAGACAGCUAUAUGAAGGAAUCACAAUUUUUACCUCUUCCAAAGUCUUAGACCAAAGUGAAUUUUUCUUUAAACUGUUUACAAGCUUCAUUUGAUUCUUUAUAUCUGCUUUUAAAAUCGCAAGGUUGUCUCCUGCACAUGAAGAAAUUAUGUGAACCAUCAAACAAAAGUAUACACAAGAGGACAAUCUUCUGGGCUGAAGCAAAACCAACAGCAGAAAUUUGAGGUAAAAUGGUGCAUAAGCCAAGCCAAACAAAUACAAACAGACUAGUUCCAAAAAAUUGAGUGCAUUUAUCAUGAAAAUCCUAAUGGACUCGGCAACUAGACUGCACCAGCUUGUUAGGAUAUCAGUGCUUUUGAAGUUUUCAGAAACCUACCAGCAGCUGCAAAAUAGUACUGUAUGUGACAACAAUUAGAAACAACUCAGAUGGAAUUAACCAAAGUCCAAAGACAAGGUUUACCUCUUCUUGCAGUAACUGAACUAUCUUCUUCAAGCUUAUGCCGAUAUUCUUGUUCCAAUCUAUCCAACGAAUGCAACUCAUGACACAGUUCCUGAAACCAAGAAACAAAGAUGAAUUUCCUUCAUUAGUGUUCAAAGGAAAAAUUCUUCCGAGCUCAGCUUAUCCACUGCAGUAUUCGUUCAUCAAUGCCUGUUCUCUACUCAAUUAUCUUGGAUCCACUGACUCCCAUAAUCUUGGGUUCUUACUAUUACAAAAACAUGAAAAGAGCAGUAUCUUAUGGUUCUGAUGAAGUUCCUGCCAACAUUUUUCUAUAAAGCUUGGGAAAACACCAGAUACACUUGAUUGGCGUCUAACGAUGCAAGAUUAAUAAUGACAAGAACUUAUCAGCAUUAAAUAGCAAAUCUUCUGCAGCUGAGUAUAAUGAAACAAGAUGCAUCACCACCGCUCUUCUACAACUUCAAUAAAAAAAUAACACCCAACUAAAAACUGGAGUAAAUGUCCACAAAGAAGAAAACAAUAAAUGGGUGUAUAUUGCUAUUAAUUCAAGGAGAGCUCCAAGAAUCAGAAAAUGAAUAUGUUCUCCAAUCCAGUCCUUUUAAGUGACUUAAAAGGUUAGGUACCAAUACAAAAGAUGAAGUGUGUACGGUGCAUACCCAUUUUCCGAAAAGGUCAAGCAACAAAUUUGUUUUAUCAGACUGUCUUUAAAAAUAAAAAAAUAAAAAUAAAAAAAUAAAAAAAAAACAAUUGUCCCAAACUGGAUAAACAUAUUCCAGAUAUUCAAAACUAAACCAUCAACAGAUGCAACUGUAACAAAGAGUGUAGCAUUUCCUAUAGUUAAUGUGCAAAAACUCACCGCGGUUGACUGAACUAAAUUUAUCAAAUAUUCCAUCCCUCUCUCUGCUUGCUUCUUCAAAUGAGUUUGUUCAGUAACCUUCGAGCCAAUCCUAUUAUAAUGAAAAUAAGAAGAUUAAACAUAUCUGAUAAUAGCGAUCCAAGAAAGUGAGUCAAAAUAUUGCAUUAGUAUUACUUGCUAAAAUAGCGAUCCAAGUUGUGCCAUAUUGGAUCAUAAGUGCGAUUUCCAAAACGUACAACAUCUCUGAUAAAAAUUCUCAAUUCUUCUCUGCCAUAAAUUGUGAAGGAGAAAGUCAUUAUUUUUCUACGAGGAUGAUCAAACAAUAAUUGAUACUCUUACCCCAGAAACAACUAAAAUGUGAUGCUGAUUAUGGAUCACCUCUUGUCAGCAGCGGCAAUUCUGAGGAGCUCAUCCAUAUCAGUAGAUAUUAAACUUUGCACCCCUUUGGAUGGGAGCAGCACCUCUUUUAAAUAUCUGAUAUUAUCCUCUGACAGGGACUGCAUUAGCUUCACACCCUUGACAAUUGAGUUUGCAACUUCAAAAGCCAAAAUUGCAAUUGUAUUCCCUUUUGUUUGCACCUCAGAAUAUAAAGUGGGGUCCCAAUUACUGAUGCUACUGCCGAACGUGUCCAAGAUAUCCAUUGCCUUUCCAAACCCAGUCGAGCUAGCUUUACCUAAAAGAGAGCUUACUGCUGAAACCUAUAGUAUGAUAAUGUUACUUAUAUGUUAACAACAGGUGGAAUUUGCUAUAUUCCUAUCAAAACUGAAGACUGUGUUCUGUAUUUAUAAUGUACACCCAGAAGAGCAGUUGACUGCAAAAUUUGCUAUCAGAAAUGCAGAAGUACAAGUCUCAGUUCGGUGUAUGAUUUAAAUUGCACUACAGUUUGUUACUCUAUUUUAAUUUAUUUUUUUGGGGAACGAAUGAUUCCUGUAGCAAGCUGCUAAAGCAAUUGUGAACCAAUGUGUAGCUACUCUAUUUUGGAAAAAUUAACAUUGACUAUAACGUAAUCUUGGUAUGUCUCUUUUUCACAAACUUAUAAUCAAGAAAGGCUACCAUUAUAUACGUCUUUAACAUAUUAUAAAAAAUAAAAAAACAAAACACCAUAAGUAACAGAAGUUUCAGAAUGUAUCUGUAAAUAUUACUUUAGCAACAGCGGCCUGUUUAGAGAAGCAAGCAGCUCCAUCAUUGAUAUCAAUUGGAUGUCCAUUUGUAAAUGGAAACCAAUUAGGAUUAUGAUCAUAUGCUCUUGGGCCAUUACUAGCAUGAUGGUAAUUUAUAGCUACAGUGAUAUCUUCUACUUUGGGCGUCCGUUUCACCUUGUUGCGAAUCCCACCCAUUACUGUAUGUGAAACACCCACAAGCUGUAUCUUGUUGUAGGAAACCAGAAUCGCCAAACCCAGAAAUGAGACUUUUGAGAGAGAAGCUUGGCAGGGAUGAAGAAAGACGGAGAUGGCUCGUUUGGGUUCGCGCGUUUACUUUUCUUUCUUUCCAGCUGUUGAGGAGAAAAGAUUGUUUUUGGUCAACUCACGAUUCUAGAGUAGACAAACCUAGGUUUUUUUUUUUUGAAAGUUAGACAAACCAGGUUAAGCAAGCUCAAUUUGUUCCCGAGUGGGACCCAUCGGUUCGUGCGCUUGCGGUGGUGGGACCCAUGUAGAUCCAUGUCAGUUUAAAUAAAAAUGGAGUUUGGUGUGUAACUUCAAAACAUAGAUAGUGUUGGAUAGGAGACCUACAUUGGUUGGUUGAAAUGACCAAGGCACCCUUAACAUUUGCAUCAGUGUCAUUACACUAGUGUACAUGAGUUAAUAUACUCUCUUGAUACAAAGGGAUCCAUUGUAAAAAGAACCACCAAUUUUUACUGGUUUUAAAAGCAAGAAAAGGGAUACCUUGAACUUUCAAUUAUUAUUUGAAUAUUCUGUACAUACACAACACUAAGGAAACUAUAACUCAACAUGCUUUUCCAUUUCCACAUCUACAGAGUUUGACUUACAUUGAAUACACUUACCUCCCUAGAUUUUAACAUUCAAAAAGCCAGUGAUUUAUCACUCAGCAUUUGCUUACUAACACAACAUCACCCUUGCCACAACCUGAGAGCCGCUUCCAAGGAAAAAUUGUAGCAGUUGGACCUAUUACACAUACACAUGGAGACUUCGCACGUCUGCCAAUCCUCAAAUACUUCGAAUUGUGUCCACUCGAUCAAUGAGAUCCAAUGCCUUGCUCCUGUCAAUAUCAAAGUCAAUGACAGGUACGGAAGAGGGCCUCCUUAUGGGAAAAGGAUCUUUCCUUCGCUCACUUGUUGGAGAGUGGCUACUACUUUUACUUAACCUAUGGUACUUGCUGAACCUCGUCCUUGCAGUGUCAAAUUCCUGACUUUUACUGAUCCCCGGUGUCAGUUUUCUCUUACUUACAUAUCUUAGCAUUUCUUGAUCUUCAACCGUUAAUACAGGGGAUGGACAGUUGGCCUUGUUUAUAGAUAACUGAAUUGUCCUCUGGUUUGGGGAGUAAAUUGGGGAUUUAAUAGGAGAUCUGAUUCCAUUAUUUCCAACCCUCACUUGGUUGACCAGAUGAUGUAGCCACACCACCAGCUCAAGAAUGUAAGACUCUGUUUUAUUUUUAUCAGCAUGGUGUAGUGUCUCAAUCCUCAACAAGUCAGUCUGACCAGUAGGUUUUCGGUUCAUCUCAGACCUAAAGAAUUAAGAUCUGUUAGAACUACCAAAACAUGACAGAGCAAUAAAUAAAUAUAUAAAUAAUUAAAAGCCAUCUGCAAGUCAGAACUCACCCAGUGUUUGCCCAUUCUCCGACCCAACCGAAGCCAUGAUGAGCUCUAAAUGAACACAUAGUGAAAAGCAACACUCAAUAUAUAGAACUAAAAACUUUGAACAUAUUUGAAUCAUAAAUGAUAUAGAGGGCACAGUAAUAAAAUUUGAUCUACGUUAAUAUUAAUUGGAAAGAACUAGAGGUGAAAAGCUAACCCAGAAAACAAAACAAAACGAUGACAAAUAAAAGUAGAUAAGCAGACAAAAUGGAGCUUUACUUGGUGGUGUUAGCAGCAAUUGGAACAAGCCACUGCAAAGUUUUCUCCAUUUCAGCUUUGAUUUGAGGGACUGUGUGCUGUGAGAAUAGCGUUUGAAGAGAAUAGUUAUAAACCAGGACAAGGAUGAGGAAAAAAUUGACAGUCAACUGUGAAGUGGAGAAAUAACAUGAUAACGAUAAUAUAACUUUGGUUAAUUAAUGUCCUUGAACUGCAUACACUACAGAUACCUCUUCCUUAACCUGAAAUGACUGUAGUUUUGAGCGCAAAGCAGACUUUAUACCAGGAGGCAGCCCUUGAUAUAACGUAUCUCGUGUGUUUGGAGGCACAGAACUUGACCGAGACACCUGGUUACAUUCAAAUGUUAAAUCAUAAGACCUUGACCCAGUAUAAAGCCUAUGUUUCCAAAAUGUUAAUCAACAAGAAAAAAAUUGAACUGCAGACUGCAGAGGAUUGGUUAUUGAACUUGUGAAAAAAAAAAAAAAAAACUUUCAUCAUAAUCCAGAAAAUUACAAUAACCAUGUGUUUAAACUGUUCUGAAAAACUGAAGUGGACACAACGCACUCUCACUGUCAUAGUUAAGUUGUUGUACCACUCUUAUGUAGACCAUAAUAAAAAGUCUAGAAUGGUAAACUUUCUAGCUUGUAGUUAAUAAAUGAUAAUAUCACCUUUCCUUCUCAAUUAGCAGAGGACUAAAAGAUUAAGUUUGGCAAGAUAAUAUGUGCGUAAACAAGAAGGUAAGAAGGAAACACGGAAGGGACAAGUUUAGUAGCACACCUUUUCCAAAUUUCCACCAUACAAAAAAAAAAGUUUGCAGUGCACAAGGAAAACACUCACGAGAGUAUCGAUUUGUGUGAUAAUAUUUGCAUAAUGCAAGGCAAGACCCGCAGACCCCAACUUUUUGUGAUGGUUUUGAGAACCUUUCACAGCUAUAUCAGUAUCUGCAAGACCAAACAAAGAGAUACAUCAGAUAAUAGUCAGUCAAUGCAAGAUCAAGAAUUGCAAUAGAGAAAUGAAAUUAUAGGCAGUAACUGGAGAUUAUAUGAAGAGAUGUUAGCUAUUUAAUUUGGAGUAUUGAGGGAGUAAUGGCCUUAUCCUAUAAAUUCUGGUGGACUUUAAUGUACGGUUUUAGAUCCUUUAGAAACCACAAAAAGAGAACAAAGCUGUCUACCCGUGUCAUUACAUACUCCCAACAUAAAGAUGCUUCUCACUUUGUAUAAGUGAACAAGGUCAACAUGAUUGUUUGCAAUCCAAGUCCAAUUGAAAUUUAUUUAGAAGGUAAAAACUAAAAUAGAAAGCCAGAUCUACAUCAUAUUUUUAUCAACAUCCUUUCCGACUCCCAAGGAGAAGUAGAAAGCAUCCUAGAAGACAACUGUCUAAAACUAUCCAAACUUUUGAAGCAUACCAGCAACACCAAAUGCUUCAUGGAUCUCCAAAUGCAAGUAAUGCACAAUGUCCACAAGCUUCUCCAUGACCUGAAAAUAGGAGAUACAAGAUUGGCUGUGAGAACUUGAAGAGAAAGCUUUUAACAAAAAAAUUUGCUCAACGUACCCUCCCAAAUUUAAACACCCUGUGACUAAUGUAUUUCUCAGAAACUGAAAGAACAAAUCAUUUAAAAAGACCAGCUGGGGGAAAUGAUAUUUUCUAAUGAGCUUCGGCAUCAAUUUAAGUUUCUUCAUCAGUCCUUUUUAGUAAUUUUCAAGAGGGUAUUUUCUAUUUUCUUAUUAAUGUUCAUUAAAGCAUGGAUAGGUGAAGUAAAUUUCUGACUGUAAAGAAAAGCUCCCACAGUUUUAUCACGUGAUUAUAGUUCAAUUGGAUUGGAAUUGACAGCUGCGCUGUGAGGCCAACCAUAUGGUAAAUAUCCAAUAUGAUAUUUACCUUCAAACAGUCAGCACUAAAGUCAAUUAAAAAAAGAAAAUGUAUCAUAACCAAGAUGAGAUAGACGAAAAAGGAAAAUUAGCUUAAUACCUCUUCCAGAAUCCUAGACCAGAGUGAUUUUUUCUUCAAACUUCUCACAUGCUUCCUUUGACUCUUCAACUCGGCUCUUAAAAGUGCAAGACUAUCGCCUGUGUCAAAAUACAGACACAACGAGAUAAAGUUACUUGAUAGUUAUAGUUUCAUGGAAUCAUGGCAUGCGAAAAAAGAUGUAGUAAAUUUCAACAAAACAAAACCAGGCUAAUCAUCGGAAUAAAAGAUGCAUUGACUUGGACAACCCAACAAGAGCAAUGUUGAGUCCCCCAGCCGGGAAAAAAAUAAUAAAAUAAAUAAAGCCUCACAGAAAAUAGUCAAUUUGCUAACUGCAUUUCUCCAGACAAGAUGAUAUUUCUAUUAUUAUUUUAAUUUAUACUAAAAGUUGUCAGAACUGGCAGUAAAUUUGACUUCGUACAGACAAAACACUAUCCAUUUGGACCAUCGGUAUGAUUAUACCCAGACAUACCAAUGGCUUCCCUACACAAACACACAUACACACCAGAUAGAUGGCACCUGUACCCAGAAUAAAUGGCAGAAAGAACCAAAAAGAAUGUUAAUACAAGUUACCUUUUUGGGUGGUAUUGGAGUUGUCCUCCUCUUGAAGUUUCCGCCGAUAAUCUUGUUCAAAUCUGUCCAAUGCGUGCAACUCAUGAUAUAGUUCCUGUAACAAGAAAGAGGUGCCUUUCCUUCAGUAAAUCUCCAAGGAAUGUAUCGGUCAAGUAGUAGGUUUCCAGUUGGAAAUAUUUAAAGCAAUACAAGACUUGUUUAUCUAUCAAAAACAGAAAGAAAAAUAAUUACAAAACAGGUAGGGAUUUCAUAGAUCACACACAACACGGAGCAAUCAAACAAGCUAUUGAACGUGUGGUCGACAAAGUCCACUGCUACAUUCCCAACUACAGUAUCCACUCAUCUUUGUGCUCCCUUCCUGCUAUAAAGCCUUCCAACUACAAGCUCUUUCCAGCACACUCAGUCACUAAACUUAGGUACAGACCAUGAAAUUUUAAUCCAAUCUCGUAUACAAUAGACUUCCUUAUCUGGAGACAUGAAAACUGCAAAUCCAUAUAUGCAGUUUUAAAUUACUGGCCCUCAAAUUUGAUAAAAUACCAACUUUUAUGAUGUCUUGCCUUUUAGGUCAAGAAGGGAAGAUUGCCGAGCAACAGAACCAAGGAUUUUGGUUCAGAAGGUACAAGUACUAGGUUCAACAGUUCAUCAGUUUUAUUCUCACCACAAUGUCCAUUGAAGAGCUGAAAUUCAUGAAACAUAGCAUAAUUGAACAUUCCAUACAAUUUACUGGAGAAUACAAUUUAUAAGAUUGGAUGAGGAAAAAAUUUUAACUAUGUUUUUCUUUUGCUCUCGAUCUUUUGUUCCUUUUACCAUUUGCAAAGAGGCUCAUUUUAUUGCUUACAAUUUCUUCUGAAGAGAGUACAGGGUGCAUCAGUCUCUCUCUCUGCCCUCCACCCCCAACCCAUUAACUAUCAGAAGAGCUUCAAGAACCAGUUCAAAAACGGUUUUGUCUCCAAGCUGAAACACAUCAGGCUCUCUGAACUUGCAUAUUCUUAAACUUUUGUGCUACUCAUUCUUUCAUACUGGAAUUAUCUAGGGACAUAAGAUGAUCUUGUAGAAUGAGAAGUACAGCUGCUACGAGUGAAGAAGAAAAUUUAAGUUUAGGAUUUCCUAGAGUGUCGAAACAAAAAGAAAUGCCCUCUCGGUCUAUAUACUCAACAUCUACAGGUAUUGACUAUUUGAGUCUGCAUUUGAUUUAUAGUUAGUCAAUGAGGAAUGCUUACUAAAACGAUACUUAAUGCAUCUGCAAGCUGCAAGAAUGAAGAGCAUCCUUCGCAACAGAAUCUAAUUUAAUCAUGCAGCAUUGUGAUGCAGCUCAACAACAAUACAAUUCACUACUGUAAUAAAAAACUUCAUACCAACCUUCGACGAAGAUCAAUUGGUUAUCUGUGGGAAGCUAGUUAAUUUUUAUUGACUUCUUAUAAUCGCUACAAAACCUCAUCUGCAUCUAUGGAUUACUGAUGAAUUUCAUUCAGCUUCUUCCCUUGUUAUAUAGGCAGACAAAUCUUAUUUCACAAAGGUGCAAUCAAUCCAAUGACAAUCAUAUACCCAUUUGUUUUCCCAGCAGAAAGAAUAUACUAAGCCAAAGAAAAUAAAAUAUAUAUAUAUGUGUGUGUAUAUGUACACGCCAGAUCAAGAGCGGACGUCCGCACUGGCCUUAAAGUGCGGACGUCCAUCCGUUCUCCACCCUCUGGCGCCGGCGACGGCACACCUCCACCCCAAAAGACUCCAGCAGCGUCCCCGACCACUUUCCCUCCCCGGUGAGUCCGUUCUUUUCCAGUUUUCCGGCGAGAUCACCCAAAACUUCAAACAAAGUCGAUCUCGCCGGAAAACUGGAAAAAAACGGACUCGCCGGGGAGGGAAAGUGGUCGGGGACGCUGCUGGAGUCUUCUGGGGUGGAGGCGCGCCGGCGCCGGCGCCCGGAGGGUGGAGAACGGACGGAUGUCCGCACGACGUCCGCACUUUAAGCCGAGUGCGGACGUCCGCUUCUGAUCCUCUCUAUAUAUAUGUGUAUAUAUAUAUAUAUAUAUAUAAACCUCUAGAAUAACAUGGUGCAGGUUGUUACAUGAACUCUAUAUAAAUAUAAACCUUUAGAAUAACAUGGUGCAGGUUGUUACAUGAACUCUAAGACAAGUCACUAAUGGACGCAAGUGAAAGAGACGAGCAUUCUCUUUACAUGCAUUAACUUACAGCUGUAUACUGAACUAAGGCCAUUAGUUGUUGCAUCACUAUUUCUGCAUCCUCCUUCAAUUGCCUCUGAGGUGUAAGUUCUGUACCCAACCUAAAUAUAGCACAGGUGACCAGCAAAUUCUGAGACGGAUUAAAUUGAGUAUAUACUAUUAAAACAAACAAGAUAUGUUAAACUUACUUCUCAAAGUAGCGAUCCAAAUUGUGCCACUGAGGAUCUUUACAACGAUUUCCGAAACGCACAACUUCUCCCGAAAAGACACUGAGUUCUUCUCUGCCAGGAUGUGACAACAAAACCAUAAAUUAUUCUCAUGUAUUAUUAUUUGAAGAUCACGGUAAUAACAAAGACAGCUUUUCUGAUCAUCCAGAAAAUUAUAGAUGGAAAGGUUUCACUGCCAACCUCUUGUCAGCUGCAGCAAUUCGCAGGAGUUCAUCCAUAUCUCUCGAUAUUAAAUUCUGUACCCCUUCGGAUGGAAGCACAGACUCUUUCAAAUGUUUGAUGUUAUCCUUUGAAAGGGAUUGCAUUAGAUUUGAACCCUUCACAAUUGUGUUUGCAACUUCAAAAGCCAAAAUUGAAAUUUUGUUCCCUUUUGUUGUCACUCCAGAGGUAAAACCACUACUAGGAUUCAGAUUUGUCAUGCUACUCCCAAGGGUGUCCAACACUUCCACAGCCUUCCCAAGUCCUGCAGUACCAGCCUUGCCCAGACGUGAGCUCACUUCUGAUACCUGUAAUCAAGCAUAACAAAACAAACAGAUAAAUCUACAAGUAACAAAAUUGAAAAAAUAAAGAAAUAAGAAUUUGUUAUUAUAGGUAUUUAGAAACAAAGCAGUACCAUUUACUUCACUACUGAUUCAAUUUCUACUUUAAACACCAACCACCAAAAUCCUAAUGUUGCCAUAUCUAUUACAGGAGAAAUUUAAAACAUCUAACCACUAACUUGAGGACUUACGUAUCAUGAUUAGAUCGAAUAUGAAUGGUGAUACACACAACCACAUAGAUGGUUUUCUCAACUUCAGUUCUCAGUAGGUUGUGUACAUACAGAAUUCCUUUUCUGGGAUCCCUAGUCAAAUAGUGGCAGGGUAAGUUUUACUUAUUCAUACAGAUCAGUUUUUCUCAUUAGAGUGUAGAAUCACCCUUAUGUUAAACUCAGGUGUGUGCGGUAAAAACCAGAUGAUGUCUUCUAGUCUAACGUUUCACAAUAUAAAGUGCACUAUAAGCGCCUAAGCUCAUUCUAAUAGAGCCACUAUUAAAGAGUCCCAGUCCCAUCAGAACUCACUAUCAGCGGCUUGUGGUUCCAAUGCUAUAGAAAAGAAGAUGCAGCAUCCAAUGACCAUUCAUACUGUUACGGAAAAACAGGUAUUACAAAGCAACAUAGGCAAGAAGAAGAAGAUAAUAACAUGUGAGGCAUUAGAAUUACCUUAGACUUGGUAGCUCUACUCUUUUGCGAUAAGGCUCUAGACAAAUGAGGAAUGCCGUCAUUGACAUCAUCCGUGAUCAUUCCAUAAGGCACCAUAGUAUUGGUCUCCGGCACCAUGAAAGGGUCUCGUAAUUGCUUAUCAGUAACCGGUGACGGUGUGGAGUUUCUGUUUACUUUGGCAGGCACGCCGGCAGAGACAUGUCCAUUAACAUUAGGAAGGAUUCCGGUGGAAGCAAUAUUAGCAGCGACAUCCUCAACAGUGGAUCUCCUCGACUUGGAGCAAAUCCCACCCAUUGUGAUGAUAACCCACCACCAAGUAUAUUUAAUGCAAGAUUCAAGUCAAAUGAGAAGCAUCCCUGUAAAACAAGAAUGAUCUACUCCAAAGUCUUGAAUAUAGAAACCACAGUAGCCAUUCUGAUCAGUGUUGGAUUUGCAGUCCAUCAACUCAGGUCCAGGUAGCUGCAAUACAGUGAAGACCCAUUACUCAAAAACACUAGAAAGCAGCAUUACAAGUAGAAUAAGGAUGAAAUCUGCAAAACCCAGCUGGGAAUUUCAGAUUUUACAACCCAAGACGAGUAUGAGAGAGAGAGAGAGAAGACUUACAGUUGGAUCUGUUUUGCAGGGAGAUAGAUGGACGAGGGUGCCCGAUUGGGAGUGUAAAGACAGGAGAGAGAGCUGAGGAAACCAAAAAUGAAAAGCAACGCCUGCAAAUUGUAAACAGGAACAACACAGUGUGUCUAGUGAGAGAGAAGACUGGGCCUUUUUGUUUCAACUCUCUUCUUUUCUUGUGUGGGGUCUGGUCAGGUCAGGUCAGAGGUAACUUGUGGGAGCAAAAGAGUGUGCGGGAGAGGAGGAGGAGGUAGUCAAAGCCCCAACUCCGGUCACCCACUGCCCUAAUUUAAAAAAAAUAAUAAUAGAGUUGCAUUGGGGAUUCAGAAUAAUAAAAGCAGACAUUUAAUGAAAAGGAUGGUGAGUACUGAGUAGUGACCAAAAGGGCGGUGAGUAGUGACCGGCCAAUGUUAGAAAAAAAAAUUUGGGAAUGGAAAUUCUUAUAUUUAUCAUCAAUAUCGCCAACCUUAGACAGAAAAAUGUUAAAUUGAAAUUAAAGUGAACCCAUCCGGUACUUGUAAGAAAACUAAAAAUAAUGAAAACACAACCUUUAAAGCAAAAUAUUAGUUGAACUUCAUAUAAUUAUUUAAAUAUUUUUUAGACAUAUAUAUAUAUAACUUUAUUAUUUAUCUAUGGCCAAAAAACAUAUAUUGUCUUUAAUACCACAUUCAUAGCCGGCACAAGCCACCAUUCAAUAUGACAGGUAGCCUUCAUUUUAAAUUUUCUCAAAUAUGAACCUACGUAUAGAUAAUAUCAUAGGCUUCUUGCGCUUUGGAAAAGACGUUGUAGUAGUAGUCUCCGCUAGACUAGCAAGGUCCGAGCGGUAAAAAACAUAACCAAGGAGAGGCAGCACAUUCAGACCAAAAAAAAAGGAGAGGCAGCACCGAUCCUGGAGAAAAGUAUAUUACGCUUAAGCAACAUAUGAUUAGAAAUAUCAUGAGUAAAGUGGAUGCAGAAUUUACCUCAAUGAAUUAUGUUCUGUCAUGAUCCAAAUAACUAGGGCUAUUUUAGUAAUCAAACUAGUUUUGAUUCCGAUUCUAUAUGGUAAAUAAACAACAUCAAUCAUAAUUAGUUUCAUUCAUGUUUUGAUUCCUUAUGGUAAGUAAACAGUGGAAUAGUAUGAAAUAUUCUCAUACCGAUUAUUGUUGAUACCAAUGUUGUUGAUACCGAUUCAUGAUAAUUUUCAUUUCAAGUUAGUAAACGUGCUCUAAGCAAUCACUAUAGGCUCGUCACUAAUUCUCAAUAGUGACCACUUAAUAUACUUGGUCACUAACGGGGUUUUAUGCAGCAAAGAUCUUCUGCUGUUGUACAUUAUAUUGCAUUCCUCUUUUCAUGCAUGUAUGCAUUCGGCUUUAACUUUUGGAAAGAAGUUUGUAUAGUUUUAUUUACAGUGAGUUAUGUAACUGUUUGUUCUUUUAUUGUUGUUUCUUACAGAAUUGGACAAGUAGCUAAUUCCGGGAACAUUGAACUCUUAGAUACAGCUUCAUUUCCAGGUACAUUCCAGCUCCUUUGUCUACUAGAAGCUAUAGGCCUAAAGUUCCAUUGAGCUUUCUACCUGUUUUUCCAUUAACUUGGUGCAUGUUGCUUGCCAAUGUAACUAUUACACUUCUAUGUAUUCUCUUAAAAGCUGUGGUGGAUAUGGCUGCAUGAUCAUGAGGUAUGUGCUUUUUAGUGUCUGCUGAGUUAUUAAUUUACUGAAUUAUGCUGUUAAGACUGUGUACAUGGUAAAAUUACCGAUUUAUUUAAGGCUACACAAAUUGAAGAAGAAUCGAGUGUUUAUGUAGGUGUAGCUUGGAAAGCUUGUUCUUUGUAUUUUUUUUUCUCUUGCUAUUCAACUGCAUUAAAUAUUAAUCUGGAAUCUAAUGUUUUAGUAAUUUCUGGACACCUUAACAUAACUAGAUAUCAAUGCGCCAUAGAAUUUGGCCUAUACAUAUAAUUACACAUUAGGGUAAGAGGCAAUCUCUAUGUGUGAAUUUGUUUUGUGAAAUCAACACAGAAUGUGAAGUUUUGUGAAAUCAAUACAGAAGCUUAAGUAGUUUUUGUUUUCUUUGUUGGUUGAAGGCAUGAGGUCGAUAUUUCAUAACUCAAGAAACUUCCUGUGACACAAUGAGGUCAAGGUGAGAAUUUAUGAGUUUGCUGUUUCUUUUAUCCAUUACAUUCUUGGUAUCUUUUUUCGUACUUCCAUUUAUCUUUGUUCCUCUCCCACAUUCAUAUACUUUUUUUGAGAAUCUGGGAUGUCAAGGAACAUCUGAAAAUUUUCAUGAGUUUCACCAUGAAGAUAUCGAUGUAAAAGCACUGUAGAACUAAAGCAAACUGUAAUUCUAGGUUGAGUGCCUUGCUACUACUUUCAAAAGAUAGGCUGUGGAAUUUUGUAGCUGUGAUAGAACCUGACCAAGCUACCAUCAAUAACUAAAUUACAUGGAUUAUCUGAUUAUGGACCAUACUGAAUUGUAUAUCUGUGGUUUAUUGAUAGAAAUUUGUCGUCUUGGGAUUUUGUCCAAUUAGUUUGCAUUCUGUUGUUCUCUGUACCAUUUUCUGUGAUAUGCAAGAUUAGCUUGAUAAUUUGUACAUGUUGACCAAUUGGUUAGUUGUGUAAACAAUUUUGCUCUGAACCCACAAUUCACAAUUCCUUAUGAAUUUUGUGCUCAAUUAUAUAGUGAAAGGUAUCAACUUAUCAAUCUGUCAAUUAUAUGUGCUUUUAGAACAGAGUUUGAGGAGGAUUGAUGUUUGUUGUAUGCUACUUCAAAAAAAUUUCUUUAUUUACAGUGUUCAUUUGUUGUUCUUUAUUAUAAUAUCUCUAUGGUACACUUCGGACUUUAUGUUAUUUGUUAACAGGACAAGAAAGAAGGAAGGUGAGAGAGAUGGGGAUCUUGGAGAAGGAUCUCGAGGCCCUGAAGGAGCAGAUUGAUAAGUUGAAUUUAGAGAGAGUUCACUUGAUGCUUCAUGUUUAAAGUCAUCAAUCGACUCAUCUGUCCCAAACGAACAGGUCAUUAAUAGAAUGGUCAUAAAUACCAGAUCCAGUACACAUGCUUAUCUUUAACCCUAUUGCACAUCUGGCUUACUUAUGAACUCAACAUCUAAUUACCUUUUAUUACUUCACAUUAAUGAAGAGCUGAAUAUACUUGGUUAAUCUGAUUUUUGUCUUGCAGUUGGUAUAUUUCAUCUGAUUAUGAUUUUGUAAGAGAAUUGUGAUUUACUGUUAUAUAUGCAUGCAUGUCUGCUUAUAUGUACAAGCAAGAGCUGCAAAUAGUAGUUGGAACUUGGUUAUUAUCAAAGUAACUCUAAAUCAGUAGGGAACUUUAAACCAUACCUUCACCAAAUCCAUGGGGCAUAGCAUCUCUGUAUCCCCAACUACUUAUCUUAAACUUUUUGCAAUAUCAGCAUCCUUCUUUUAUUUGCCAUUAAUUAAUUCUUAAAUCUCAUGUCUCUAUUCUAAAUAUUGCCUUCCUUUGAAUUUCAUUGUUUAAUGAUACAUUACUGGUUCCUUUAAAAACAGCUAAUAUUGUUUAAUCUACCCAGUUUCUCAGUGCCAGCCAACAGCAUCCAGAUCAACACUGACAGAAAACAAUCUAACAUUUGAAACAGCAAGGAACUUAUGUAAAGUCAUUAGUUCGAAAUAAAAGACCGCAGCAGCACCCGGGAAGAGAAGAGGUGCGAGUCCAAUUCUAUAAUAUGAAAUUGGGGGUUUCUUUUAGUUGUGUAGUGUAACAAUGAAAUGAUCAGUGUAUAGUGAUAUUAUUAGGAAGCAUACUUUGAAAACAGGGGCCUGCAACGCGCGGGCAUACAUCCUAUUAUUGUUAAUUAAUGGAAGAACGCUGGAGACCUAUGGAAUAGUUUUCGUUGGAAUAUGAAGGUAUGACCUUUUGAUGCCUUUGGUGUUUCAUAUGUACAAGAGAAGGUUAUACAUAGUUUCAAAUUGAUCGUCAUAAAAUAUUUGUAACCACAUGCUUUGAUGAAUGUAAUAUGAUGUAUAGGUAAAAACAUGAAAAAAAGAAAAAAUGAUAGUUUCUGAAGUUAUAGAAAAGAAAAAAAAGAAGAAAAAAAUGACUUUUGAUAUGUUUAGGUUAUAUAUCAGUUUGUAAUUGAAUUACAGUAAUUUAUGAGUUAAAUUUUCAUAUUAGUUGAUGUUGCUCAUCCAUUAAUAAGCUUAAAUUUAGGUGAAAUUAAACUGUUUUUUCAUAUCCUGAAUAUUUUGGUUUGUGCUUACUCGCAUCGCAGGUUCAUGCCUAUCGGAUUUCUCAGUGUGUUUUUUUUCACAAUUUUUUGUAUGUUUGUCAUUUAGCUAUUAUAUUUUGUAUUCAUUUUGAAAUUGUUGUCUACUUGUAUAAGAUUUUUAAUGUUCAAUUAUGAAAAUGAAAGCGGUGUUGGAUUCUGAAGAUGUAGAUUACAGUUAUCUACCUUUUAUCUAUAUUGUGUAUUUUAACAUCCAUUUGUGAUGGACACAAAUUUAAUCUACUGUAACAGACAUUGAUAUCACAACUAACUACUGCUUAUAUUUUUGUGUAUUAUUAUUGUUAUAUGAAUCGUCGAUUUUAACUUGCGGCAACGCGCAGGGACAGAACCUAGUGUCUAUCGUAUUUUAAAGUUUACGAUAUUUACGUACCGAGACUUAUUGCAGGAGGUUAGAGCACAACAAAAUAUCAGGGAACUGGUGUCACUGAUCUUCCCUCGGUCUAUUCCUUAAGCCCAUUCAAAUUCUUAAUAAAAAGACGUUAUUACCUUUUGUGUGAUUAAACCCACACAAAUCUCUCUCACGAAGCAGUGCCGAUCUCAGCAUUAUGUAAAUUUUCCCGAGAGAUAAUAAUUAGUUCUGGAUGUAAAUACCGAAAUAGAAGUGGAAACUUCCAAGUCCCCACUAACUUUGACAAAAAGAUGAGAAGGGUUAAAAAGAUACCGGUUAACGUCAUCUAUGUGUGAAAUGCGUGGGAAUAAAGGCUAGUUUCUUAUAGUAGGAAGCCGAUUAAUUUCAGAUGGAAUGAUUUCCAAAGUAUUUGGUAUGCACGACAGGGUCUUAGAAAAAAAGGCUCGAGUUGAGAGUUUAGUUUCAUUUUCAUCCGGCAACGCCUUGUAAUUAAUGCUGGCACGUUAGUGUGCGAUAUAUGUUGUUGGAUGAGUGUUUGGUGGCCUGCGAUGGGAGGCAUGAAAACAAAGCAAAGCAAACCGGCACAAAAACAAUAGGCCGGACAACACAGAAAAAGUAGUAAGCUGAUUUGAAGAGUAACUACCCUAUAGUCAAAAGAACAUUCCAGCCCCGAACAGAUAAGCAAGGUUGGCGUUUACUACAGAACCCUCACUCUCUGAUUGCCAAGCUGUACAAAGCCCUAUAUUUUCCAAAUGGAGAUUUUUUCUCCGCAGAAUUGGGGACCUAUCCUUCAUUUUCAUGGCGUAGCAUUCUUUCAGGCAGAGAGGUAUUGUCACAAGGAUUGCGAUGGAAAAUUGGCUCCGGAUCUCAUGUUAAUAUAUGGCAGCAUAAAUGGAUUCCUGACUCAUUUCCAAGAUGUCCUUCAUCUCCUCCGGCACAGGGAGCUCCUCAAUUGGUUUCAGAAUUAAUAAAUCCAAUAACUCGCAAUUGGGAUGUUCACAAGCUCAGCAUGUUCUUUUCACCUGCUGACAUUGAGUUAAUUUUGACCAUUCCCUUAAGUAACAGAAUGGUGUAAGAUCGACCUAUAUGGCACUUCCACAAGAAAGGUACAUUUAGAACAAACAGUGCGUAUUUUGUGGCUAGAGACAUUCACCUAGAAGUUGUAUUAGCACCUCCUCCUCCCAUUGAUCCAUUUGGUAAGCUUUGGAAAGAAAUUUGGAGUGCUAAAAUACCUGGUAAAGUCGGCAUACAUAUAUGGAGAAGCUGUGCAGGGAUUUUACCAACUAGAGAAGGUUUGCAACAAAAAGGUUACGAAGGGGAGAUGGGUUGUUUAAUGUGCCAGCAUCAUAUUGAGAAUAUUAUGCAUCUGUUCUUUCAAUGCCAAUAUGCCCAGAAAACUUGGAAUGUUGCUGCUAUUACAAUUGAUGUGUCAAAUCGUGAUUCUUUCAAGGAUUGUUUAAUGCAUAUGGCUAGCACUAUGACUAAGCAUACCUUUGCUAGAGCUAUGGUCAUCUUAUGGUCUAUAUGGAAGAAUCGAAAUAGUCAAUUGUGGGAAGGCAAGAAACAGAGGCCUAGUGACGCAGCUAUGCUUAGCCUAGGAUGGCUCCAAGAGUUCACAACAGCUAAUGUGACACCGACUGGAUCGAUAGAUCGUCGGCAACAAAAUUGGUCAGUGCCGGCGUCUGGAUGGUUAAAAUGCAACUGUGAUGGUUCUUUUUUGGCUAAUACUCAUCAUGGAGGCAGUGGUGUUNNNNNNNNNNNNNNNNNNNNNNNNNNNNNNNNNNNNNNNNNNNNNNNNNNNNNNNNNNNNNNNNNNNNNNNNNNNNNNNNNNNNNNNNNNNNNNNNNNNNNNNNNNNNNNNNNNNNNNNNNNNNNNNNNNNNNNNNNNNNNNNNNNNNNNNNNNNNNNNNNNNNNNNNNNNNNNNNNNNNNNNNNNNNNNNNNNNNNNNNNNNNNNNNNNNNNNNNNNNNNNNNNNNNNNNNNNNNNNNNNNNNNNNNNNNNNNNNNNNNNNNNNNNNNNNNNNNNNNNNNNNNNNNNNNNNNNNNNNNNNNNNNNNNNNNNNNNNNNNNNNNNNNNNNNNNNNNNNNNNNNNNNNNNNNNNNNNNNNNNNNNNNNNNNNNNNNNNNNNNNNNNNNNNNNNNNNNNNNNNNNNNNNNNNNNNNNNNNNNNNNNNNNNNNNNNNNNNNNNNNNNNNNNNNNNNNNNNNNNNNNNNNNNNNNNNNNNNNNNNNNNNNNNNNNNNNNNNNNNNNNNNNNNNNNNNNNNNNNNNNNNNNNNNNNNNNNNNNNNNNNNNNNNNNNNNNNNNNNNNNNNNNNNNNNNNNNNNNNNNNNNNNNNNNNNNNNNNNNNNNNNNNNNNNNNNNNNNNNNNNNNNNNNNNNNNNNNNNNNNNNNNNNNNNNNNNNNNNNNNNNNNNNNNNNNNNNNNNNNNNNNNNNNNNNNNNNNNNNNNNNNNNNNNNNNNNNNNNNNNNNNNNNNNNNNNNNNNNNNNNNNNNNNNNNNNNNNNNNNNNNNNNNNNNNNNNNNNNNNNNNNNNNNNNNNNNNNNNNNNNNNNNNNNNNNNNNNNNGUGUAUAUAUAUAUAUAUAUAUAUAUAUAAGACACAUGAAGGAUGUAUUUAAGUCUUUAACAGGGAGGGGCAUACACUAGUAGUUUGGAACUUAGAUAUAUUCAAGUUAUAAACAGUUUUUUGGCACACAGAUCAAGUUGCAUCUACCUAAAAUGCUCAAUGAACAUGUGUGAUGUGCAAUUUGUAGUUGAGAUGUUCUACUUAGAGAAUCAAUUGAGUAACUCUUUCAAUUAGCUCUACUGAGGAAGUUUUUAAUGUUUUUUAAUAGUUCUUAUUAAUUGUUUGAUCGAAGACAAAUACAUUAUUUUUCUCUUUUUAUUUUGGAGUAAUGACACACAAUUGUACAUGACCUAAUUGAAACAGACCGUCGAUUACUGUAUAAAGAGUUUAAGACAAUCAAGAAUUAUUUGUACAUACAAAAAUAAGACAAACUGUACACAGCGCGAGCGCGGCUCUUUCGCACGUGCAUGAUGCGUGCACGAAAGCUAGAUCUAAGCUAGAUCUUUUUAAAUAAUUCACUCCUUCCAUCUUCAACAAUUUUCCAUGAUUUUUUUUUGGUCGAGUAUUUGAAUAAUUUUUUACUGUCUAUUAAUGUUACUAAGAAAUAUUGUUACAUGUCAAAUGAUACAAUAAUGUAGCGUGCACUAUAGAAUAAAAUUACAAAAAGAUGUACAUUGCAUGUAACGAUAAAUAAAUCGUUAACUAAUGUUAACAGCCAAAAAAUAUUAAACGCACACGCGAGCAAUGCACGUGCAAGAAGGCUAGUUAAAUUUUAAAGUUAAUUUAUUUUGUUAUCAUUUUACGGUAUUAACCAUCAUUGAUUUAUUUUUUUUCUAUAUCAAAAACUCCUCUAUCGUGGGUAAUACAAAUAUGGGUAGUUCAUAAAAAAGGCUUCACCAUGACACCAAAGAGGAUGUCUGGCUUUCUAAUAGUAGAGAGAUCAGUUCUUUUUUAGUGUGGUGUCCCGCUUUGAAAUUAAAGUGUGGACCUCCUUAUUUCGCUCACUUUCAGGUCGCAUUUAGAACCUCUCGUGUUUAUUGUCGGAAAAAAAAUAGAAAAAAAACAAUAAAAUUGAAAAUCAAAUAUCUAGAGACGUGAAAAUCAUGAGCUUGUGUUAUCAACGGGCAGAGGCGACUAGUAUCAGUUUAGUGGCAAGUCUUGUUGGAAUUCUGUAGCAACAGGGCACUCUGGAAUAUAAUCAGGAACACAAGAGGCUAAUGAAUUAUACGUCUCUCGUGGUAAAAAAACAAGAAAAAAAAAGAAAAAGAAAAAGGAGAAUUAGUGGAGAAACAUCAUAUCUUUUUCUUCGAGCAUAAUCAGGUUUUAGAAGCAAUUUUGUUCCACCAGAAAGGUGAGACCAUCAUAUCUUUCAUGCACAAAUAUACCAGAAGCUACAUUAAGGUUGCCUGCUCCUUCAACAAAUAGCCAGACUACAUUGAGCUUUAUCCUGCCUGACUGCUAUUUACCUAGCUGCCACAAGAAGCAACCAGCCAAAAACAGCAGAUAGUUUAUUUCUCAAUUACCACUAAAGCUUCAUAUUAACAAUUCUACAGUAGUAAUUCUAAGUUUUUAACCAUGUGGACACUACAAAACCACCACAAUGACUUAAACAGGUUUAGUGACACACCUCUUUAGGCUCCUUUCACCAUUCAGAUUCGCCAUGAGGUCCUCCAAUUCAUCAAUGAUUGCAGAGUAACAGAAAAAAUAUUGCUCCUACAAACAACAAAGAAAGACGGUUAAAAAAAUUUGAGGAUAACAGUAUCACAUUAUCAUCAAAUUUAGCUAAACAACCCAAACAAGAAUCUUAAACUCUAUAAAACCAAAAAAUAGUAGAACCUUCAAGAUUGGUUAUCAUACACCACUGGACGCUGUUUGCCCAUACACCAUGUCAGACCCAGUUAAUUAUAACCACCAACAUUGAAGCACAAAGAUAUUUCAAGCAUAUAAUCACAGAAGAAGAUUCACAAAGAUGAUACUUCAUCAUAGAAGAAAAUUCACUAAAAGUGGCAUCAAUAAAAGUGUAUUAAGACCUAAGUUAACAGACCUACCAUUGCAAGUUAUAACAAAUCUAAGGACAUUAGACCAAAGCAAUCUUUUUGGUGAAAUAAUUCAAUUAAUCAAAUAAGAUAGUUUUCUGCAACAUGUUCUUUUGCAAGCCUUCUUACUGUUAAUCUAAUCAUGGAAGUACAGUACAGAGUAGAGAUGCUUGGAUGUAGGGUAAGAGAUACAAAGACCUUUGUUUCUGAUACAAAAUUGUUGUUUGAACAUCUAUAUGGAGUUAUUUCGGGAUUUAAUGUCAUUUUUAACCUGUGUGGAAACCUGAAGUAAUUUUACUGUGAUUUCAAUAUCUGUGGCUUUAUUUCUACACUGUAAUUGGACGUGUGUAGAAAUCACGUAUUUCUACGAUACUACAGUUUGAAGCAUAAAAGAGAAGUCUUAUUGGAGAAGAUGAAUAAUAAUAAUAACAUUAAUAAUAAUUAAACAAAACUAUGACAAACAGAGGAGAAUAUACCAGUGUCUGCACCAUUCCAAUACGCUCAGUCCUAAAAGUGGUUAUUGUAUUAGCAAGAUCUAAAGCAGACAUGUCCCCCGAAAGAAUUCUCUGAAUCGUAUUAUGAAUUGUGCAGUAUGUUCCAGUCCUCCCAAUACCUGCACUGAGAAGGUGAGCAAGUGUGUCAGACAAAUAAAUUACUUAUCAUACAUGCAGACGACAUAAAUGGAAGUAAUGAAAAUGAGUGCAACCUGCAGUGCACCACUACUGGGCCAAGGUCAGGUGGAACUUGAUAUAUUGUCUUCAAGAUUUCACGAACAGCAAUUGUAUCUGUGGGAACUCCAUGGUCAGGCCAUUCAGGAUACUGAAUAUGCAGCACAGAAAUUGGUGGUUCUUCUGACUACAAAGGAAAGCAGGGGCAGGCAGCUAUCAAUUUUAUGUUUAAUAUCUUUAAGAGAUUAGAAUAACAUAAUUCAAACAACAAUACAUCCAUAUAGUAAUAGUAGUACCCAAGAAUAAAAGUUAUAAGGCUUACAAAUAGUUGGAAAAUCAUACAAGGAACAAGGAACGAAUGCACGCUAUAUUUUCCAAGUUCAAAGAACUUACAAAUUAUGCUAUAAAAAGCCAAAGAAAUAAAUUUGUAACAUUCACAAUACUUCUUAUCUCAAGAACUUUAUGUACAAGAACCCAAAUAUAAAUCGUAUAUUUCCCCAUACAAGAAACCAGAAUCUACAGACUGAACUAAAGGACAGGCAUCUUAAGAUCAAACUCUAAACGUAAACCAACAAGAAAAAAAAAUUGAAACAAUGAAGAAUCUCUAAAGUUGAACAAUUUUUUUCUUCAUGUUUCUUUGAAACCAAAAUCCGACCUUUCCCAAUCAUUAUCAGAAUUCGGAAGUAUUGACCCUUGCGUGUGCAACUAUCCAAGAAUACAUUAAACUGUGCUAGAUACCUUAGCAUGUAUUCAACAACAUUUAUUUAUCAUUUAUUUAAAAUGUGAUAAGCUUAACAAGGAAUGUCAAAUUAAACCUCAACCACACCCCCCACCCUUAAAAAGAAAAAGAAAAAAAAAGCCCCUUCCCCAAAUUGCAUUCAUGCCACAUUCAAUUUUUACUGAUUGAUUGAGGAGUAUCAGAAAGAAUCAAUCAUGUCAUACGACUUUAGAACCAAAUAAGUGUUUAAUAUGAUGCAUGGGUUAUAUUUGUUUGAUUUACUUUUUAUUUAACAGCUGUACUUAUUCUGAAGGGAAUACAAAUGGCUUUACCUCUUUACUGUUGACCUCCAGAAGCCGCAAUGCUAUUGAAUUGCCAGUGGUUCUUAUCCACUUGGUGGAUAGAGUUAUGUUACCGAAUUCUCUAGGACCAUCUUCUGCCUGAAAAUAAUCUCCACACUUGACCAUCUGCACAUACAUGUAAAAAGAUAUACGAAAUUUCAGGCCGAAUAAUAACUGUGAACAUUAUUUCUACAACUAUACACAAAGCAAACAAGAACACUCGUACACUAGUACGAAUGUACUGUUAUGAUCAUAAUAUGGAUUAAAAGUUCAGUUGGUGCUAUCUCUCAUAAAGUUGAGGUGUUUCACUAAAGCUCAGUUGAUAUAAGUAGGGACUAAUUCGUUAUGAGAAGACAAAAAUAAAUUACUACCAAAAAUCUUUUUUCUUAAGAACUUGACACUUGAAACAUGAAACCUGAUAUGUCAAAGACUAUUGAUCAUUAUUUCUUUUAAACAAACUAGGGCUGAUGUUCUCUAAACGAUUCAAAUCACACAAAACACUAUUAGAAAAGUACCCUGUGAUAGUCGACCAAGCGAGUGAGCAUGACAACUACAGGGCACCGGUUCUCAAGUACCAUCUCCCAGAAAUCCUCAUAUGUGUGCGGAAGUGGACCUUGUGUAGCAAUAAACCUAGAAAUGUUUCCAGAGGAACAAGCCUACAUAAAGAAUCAACACUGAAAGGUCAUUUAGAGGCCAUUUCUCUCAAGGUACAAAAAAAAAAAAAAAAAAAAAAAAAUAAGGACAUAUAUUUGUUUUACCGAAAUGAAGCUGGCAUUGAUGUAGCCCCUUGCUUCAGGUCUGUAAUCUUUACAAGAGUUGAGAACUACCCUAUUCUGAUCAACUGAAGCCAACAACAACACAAUCUAUUAAGCUCUAAUCUUAAUGACUAGUAUUACAGUACAAGUGUAAUGUAGAGAGAGCGAAACUGAGACAUACAUGGUAACACAUCGGUGUACCGAUUUUUGCUGACAUUGACACUGUCAAGAGCCACAGUGCAACUUCUCUUCAUCUCCGACGCUGUGAUCCGCUUCCCCUAAGCAGCAUUCAUCACCAUUUCAAUAACCUAAUUUUAAGAAAUUGGAAAGAAAUUUGCGAGGACAAGAGACCUGUAAGAGAGCGAACUCUUGGUUUAUCUGGUGAGGCAUCUGGAGCUUGUCUUUGAGGAAUUUGAGGGCCUGGGAGCAGUAGUUGUACUGAUCGGGACUGAGUGUGAGCCUCGGCGGCGGAGAAUCGGCGGAGAAGGAAGGGAAGGGUUUCGAUGCCAUCGCCCUCAAUCGCCGGUGGCUGCGGGACCGCCUGGAUAUGACGUUCCCCAGUUUUCUCACUCAGAUUUUUGUUUCUGUUCCUAACAAAAUUUAAAUGCCCAGUCGCCCAAUCAGUGUGGGUGGCAAUGCUCACUAUAACUCAUCCAUGAGUGAUUACGCCUUCUUUUCUUUUUUUCCUUUUUUUUGAAUCACUUGAUUACGCCUUCUUUAACUUUAACUCAGUUAGAACAUUUCUUAAAAAUAAAAAAAUAAAUAAAUAAAAUAACUCCUCGUUAUAAUCAUUUCAUAAAGAUAAUAAUAAUUAGAAAAUUUUAAGUUGAAUCAUUUUGUUUGUCCGGUUUGGUAUCAUUUGAUCUACUGGCAAAAGUAUCAUUUUGGUUAAGAAGUUUAAAAGGUAAUUCAAUAUUACUUAAAUAGAGAAAGAGGACCUCUCUGGUCUCUCAACUAAGAUCAGGGUUUUCAGCGUUCUCAGUUGUGUGACUUUAUUUUCUCCAUGUCAGUUGCUCUUGCGACCAUCACUUUUGGACUUGGCAAUAUGUUUCCUUUUCACUUUUGCUAACGAAAGAGAUCUGAAUAGGGUGAAGAAAGGAGGGCCUUGACAAUUAUUAGACUCACUAUUACUACCAGCGGAUGGACAUACCUUAGAUGAGUGAUCUUCAUUACUAGAGAGUUGUGGGUUAGGGGUAGGAUCAAGAGGAGCAGUCGUGUUUUCAACUCUCUGUGUCUACAUGUCUAUAUCUUCUACUUGGGUAGUUGUCUUUUCAACUUCUAGUGUCUGGAUCUCUGGAUCAUAUGCCUUUGAAUGAGCUUCUGCUUCUAGAGUUGACAAGUUGAUGAUUUCAACUGCAUCUGUCAAAAUUUCUCAAGCGUGCAUGCAUGACUUCUUCUUCACCUUUUGAUCCCCCCUGUUCUCCAUGAUACAACUCUUCGAAGUAUGCCGAAGUAUGAGUUCUCCCCGUUAAGAGCAGUAUCAAAGGAGGAAAAAUAUUCGACCAAAAACAAAAAGGAGGAAAAAUAGCUUAUGUUUUCAAAGAAAGUGAAAUCCAAAGUGACAUAAUAUUUCAUAGUUGGUGGAUGAUAGCACUUGUAUCCUUUUUGAUAUUCUCCAUAUCCAACAAACACACACUUAAUCGCCCGAGCAUUUAACUUAAGACCUACGGUUUUUAGGAAUAUGUAAAAAAAACACAACCAAUCAUACGGGCAUAAAUAUCACGAGUCUCCGAAUUUUUUUUUUUGUUGAAUAAAAGGUUAGAACGGCGGCCCUCAUGUUAUAACCAUUAACAAAACCUCAGAAUACAAGGUGGGGGGGGGGGGGGGGGGGGGGGGUGGGNNNNNNNNNNNNNNNNNNNNNNNNNNNNNNNNNNNNNNNNNNNNNNNNNNNNNNNNNNNNNNNNNNNNNNNNNNNNNNNNNNNNNNNNNNNNNNNNNNNNNNNNNNNNNNNNNNNNNNNNNNNNNNNNNNNNNNNNNNNNNNNNNNNNNNNNNNNNNNNNNNNNNNNNNNNNNNNNNNNNNNNNNNNNNNNNNNNNNNNNNNNNNNNNNNNNNNNNNNNNNNNNNNNNNNNNNNNNNNNNNNNNNNNNNNNNNNNNNNNNNNNNNNNNNNNNNNNNNNNNNNNNNNNNNNNNNNNNNNNNNNNNNNNNNNNNNNNNNNNNNNNNNNNNNNNNNNNNNNNNNNNNNNNNNNNNNNNNNNNNNNNNNNNNNNNNNNNNNNNNNNNNNNNNNNNNNNNNNNNNNNNNNNNNNNNNNNNNNNNNNNNNNNNNNNNNNNNNNNNNNNNNNNNNNNNNNNNNNNNNNNNNNNNNNNNNNNNNNNNNNNNNNNNNNNNNNNNNNNNNNNNNNNNNNNNNNNNNNNNNNNNNNNNNNNNNNNNNNNNNNNNNNNNNNNNNNNNNNNNNNNNNNNNNNNNNNNNNNNNNNNNNNNNNNNNNNNNNNNNNNNNNNNNNNNNNNNNNNNNNNNNNNNNNNNNNNNNNNNNNNNNNNNNNNNNNNNNNNNNNNNNNNNNNNGGCACACUGUGCCUAAACCCAUACUGUAAGAACACCCUAAAUAUUAGGUAUGUCUACAAAAUCUAUGCAUUCUAACAAACACCAUUUAACAAAGAGUGAAUCAUUUAACUACUCUAUUUGCUUUACAAUUUUGACAACAUACCGAAAAAAAAAACUACUCAUGUAGAGCCAUAACUUACUAUGUGUAUUAGCUUUCCGGAUCUGUUGCCACUGGAAAUUACCAGUGACCCUAAGUUUCAUCUUGACAUUAGGCGGAUGCGACCAUUUAACAAAACAAAAAACUCACUGCAUCAUUAGAGCAAACUGGCAUGCUACAUGCACUUACCAGGACAUAGCCCACAUCUCUAAAUCAUGAGAUGGUAAGGAAUUAUUAAAAACAGUAAAUAAAAAACAACUGAAAAAUAAACUAUAAAGAAAAUAAAAAAGCAUGCAGGGCCCAAAAGGCCAGCCCAACCCAGAAGAUCAUAGCCUUGUCGAGCCCGACGUAAUUAAGUAUGCCCAGUGGACCAGUCAACCAGCCCUCUACCCCAUCUCCGACCCUUUGAUUUUCUUUGAAAGCUUUUCUUUAGUUAUUCCUCAUCGUCAACACAAGCGAGAAGUACCAUGUUGCUUGCUGCUGCUCUUUCUUGCAAGCAAGCAAAAACAUUUCUCUCGAUGUUUGAAUCAAAAUCUUAUCCAUCUAUUGAAACAAGAAGUGUAAUCGUAGUUGAAAACGAAACACUAUUCUAAUGAUCAUACAGAAAUAUAUACUAAAGUCAAUAAUUACAAGAAAUUAAGGUUGAAAUUAGUAGUAGUAGUAGUAGUAUUAGCUUCAUGGUUUAUCUGUAAUUUUCUCCAAGUUUAAACAGAUAAGUGUUGGAAAAUAAUAUUGGACGCUGCAUUUAUCUUUGUCUGCACAAAAUAGUUUUGAGAUUAACUUAAAUAUAAUCAGUAGAAAUAUAAAUGUAAAACUCUAUCCUGUUAUCUAUUGAGGUGUAUGUCUCUCAUUAGAAGUUGGAGACUUAUCAAGUUGAUUAACCUGAUCAACAUUGAGUUCUUGAGAUAAACCUAAAGACUUGUAUCUGAUAAACAUUAAGUGAACUCGGACUCCUUAUGGGAUGAGCACGAGUUAUAUUUCUAGGCCACUAUAUAUACAAGUAGAAAGUCCCUAUUCUAACUACGCUUUUCCUUGAGAAAUAACAGUCCCAUUCUGUGAAGAAACAAGUAGUAUAGCAUAGAAGAUUUUCCUUGGUUUUGUGUAUUGUGAGAUUGCAGUUGUGUUGCUGAGUUGCUGAGAAGAUGACUACCGUGAAUGGUACCCCAAUUGAUGCUGGUCCUUAUGGUAAUCACCUAGAGAAACUAGGAAACUCUUUAAGCUAUUGGUUUAUGAUUUCUACAGUACUGUGUUUGUGCUUAUUGUGAAACGAUCUUGACUUAAGAUAUUAUGCAAUUCAGUUUCAGGUAUAAUAUAUAAUAAGGAGAAGACAUUAUUAAUGAUGAAGCUCAUCCAUCUGCAGCUAUAAAAUGCAGAAUAUCCAACUGAAUUCCUUUCUGAUGGUCAUGAGAUUGGCUUCAACACAUACAUUUUACAUGCAUGAGAGUUCACGGAGGCUGUCAAGUUUCCAACAAAUAGCUUCUUCAGUGUCUUGUGCUGCAUUAAACAUAAUAUAUAUGGUUACAAAAUAUUAAUUCUUGAUCAAAAACACAGAAUAAGAGCAAUAGCUGCUAUCAGAGAUUGAAAAGGAAUGCUGGUAUGCCUUCUUAACCAGAUAUAUAAGUUAAUACAUACCUCCCAAAGAUCUCUUGCUUCAACAACAGUAUUUGGGGGGAGCCCUAUGUCUUCCCAUUGAGCUGUAAUGGUAUUGUUCUCAGGUCCUUGGUUGAUAAGGAGUAAAGCUACUCUGUACCCUGAAAGUGGUCCAGCCCAGAUCUGGCGGCAAUCAAAUAAAACAAUGGAAGUCACUUGCUGUCACUCUAUAGACACAACUCAGUAUCACUCUCAGCCUAGAUAUCAGAAAAAUUCUGGCAUUUCAAUUGUACCUCAAGAUCUCCUUCCAGUCUGACUUUUUUAGCUUGGACACCAAGUGGAUCUGUUAUAAUUAUAGACACAAAUAUACAAUCAAUUACAUUCAUCUGAAAGAAAAAUAGUCUAUCUAAAGGUUCUAGUUACCUUGGUUGACAGAGAUGACCUCUUUAUUUGCAACGAUCUCCAGAGUGUCUUUUGACAUAUUCCUCACAUCACAACCAAGAAGAAGGGGAGCCUGCAAUAGUAGUGAUUAUAAGUAAUUUUCGCCAAAAGAGAUGAGCAAAACAUAUAUGCUCAUUUUGUAGUAGAACAUCGAGCAAAGGAAAUGUUCAUGAGUUAGGUACCUUUGAUAUGGCCCAUAUGCUAAAAUGGACUACAUAUUCAUCUUUUGUCAUUCCUCCAUUUCCCACUUCAAGCAUGUCGGGAUCUGUUUAGAUUAAGAAGAUAUUACUCUUGGAAAAACUAUAUUCCUACCGAUAGUAUGGGUGAACAAGUGCACUAAAGGAACUCUAACCAUUCCAACCACCAGGCCUGGCAUAUUCAGCAUAAACUUCAUUCAUGUCUGCUCUGGAGACCAUACUGGAAUGAAAAUGCAAGAACAGUACAAUGGCAUCAUGGAUAAGCAACCAAUUCACAUAAUGGGAGCUUGAAUAAAAGACUGAUGUACUUAUUCCUAAACCUCACUCCUAAAAAAAGAAAAAAAGAAAAAAAAGAAAAAAGAGAACGAAUAGAAUAGAAAGAAAGAAAGAACCAGAAUAUGAACAGAAAGACCCUUCAGAGUUAAAGGAAGCAUAACUCUUUACCUCUCCCAUGAAUCAGAAAUGUCCUUUGUAGUUCUCCAGCUAUUUCCUAACUUGGCACCCCAUAAAGCAGGGUGCAUAUCUCCCCUAAUAGAUCAAACAGAAUAUAAAGUGAACCAAAAGAAGCUAAUUAAGACUACUACAGUAGUAACAAUUAACAAAUUGAAAUUGCUUAAUUUGCGAGCAAUAAGAUUACCACUCGCACAGAGAAAAGAAUAUGGGACGGCCUGCUUUCAUCAGAGCUCGGGUCAUUACAGGGUAUCUACAAGAAGAUAUCGGAACCUUUAGAGAAACUAUAUGGCAUAGAGUAGUCCUUUGAACAAAACGCAGAAUUAAUGAUCAACUACUAGUGUAAUUCUAGCGGUGGUAUUAUGAUAUAUAUAUUUUGUAUUACCUAACAGUUGGGUUUGAGCCAUCAUUAUAACAGUUAUCAUACUUUAAAUAAUCGAUGCCCUGGAAAGAAGAACAGGAUUAAGAGUUUAUAGUCAACUGCUAAUAGACAUGUAUCAUUGUAAUGGAAAUUACUAGAACAUAUUGUACCCAAGCAGCAAAGGUAUUGGCAUCUUGUUCUUCAUGACCAAGUGAACCAGGCAUGGUUUUGCUACAAGUGAAGUACCUGCCAAGCACAAUGCAUGUGCACCAAGCUGUUUAUUAACUGUGUGCAUAUAUCAAAAUUGAACAGCAACUGUGCAGGAAAUGUUUUCACUGGGGUCUGUGACUGCUAUCUUACCCUGCAUCUGAGUAGAUUCCUAUCUUAAGACCCUUGCUGUGGACAUAAUCCACAAGAGCUUUAAUGCCAGAUGGAAAUGCUGAUUUCUUGGCCACUAGAUUACCCUGGAAUAUCAAAUCUUAUGUUUAUUAAAUAUCUACUAAAGCUGAACUUGUUUGCCAUUGAAAGGAAACAUGUUAUACCUUGACAUCGCGUGCUAUUUCGGCCCAGCAGUCAUCUUUGAGGAAAUGAAAGUUUUCUGUCAGCACUUGGGACAAAAUGCUUGGGAGAACGAAAACAUAUGUACAAAUAUUGAAAAGAAAAAAGAAAGAUGCCGAUGUACCUAUGUUAACAUAGGUAUAUCCAAGUUUAGAAAGACCAGUGGAUACCAGAGCAUCAGCUGUCAAAACCACAGAAACAAAAACUGUCGGUAACCGCUACGAGUAAUCCACCAGCAUAUAUCGACUAACAAUACUAGAUUGAUGCACUUAUCACGAUGCGUCUAUAGCUUCAGGAAAUAUACAACUAGUAUGUGAAUAAUGAUUUAGGCAAAAGGUCAAGUUACCAGUUUCCUUGAUGGUUUUCUCCUCAAUUCGGCAGUUGAAGUGAUUCCAACUAUUCCACCUAAGCAAAAAGUAGAAACAAUUAAUCAGUAUGCUGCUAAGGUUUGAUAAUAGGAUGAGAUGACAUUAUUAGAAUCUGAAAGAUAGUUAUGUAAGGCUCCUGUUAUGAACUUUGUGGGCACUUGGCAUCUGUGCUUUUUUGCAGUCAAGAAACUUAUGAAGCUUAUUUCAGGUGUUCCCAGAAAAUAAUAACAGAGAAUACCCUAUGAGAGUUCAUAUUAGCUUACCCCAUUGGAGGAGUGACUCCAAGGCCAUUGGCAAGCAGAUUUCGCCUGAGAUGCGAGGCAGAAACACCCAUUAACUUGAAUAAGCAUAGGAUCACUGCCAUUACAAUCAUUGUGGUCGGCACUGCCUUCUUCCUCAUCGUCACUGUUCUACAGCUGCUGCUGCUGCUGCUUCUUCUUACUCAGUAUCACUAUCUCACUCUCUCCUCUACUACUGUCCACCGACCCUAUUUUUGUGCUCAGUUUAUCUUUACUUAAUUUGAUGGAAAUCUCCCUCUCCAGAAACGUGAUUUCAUUGUUUAAUGAAUUUGGUUGCCAAUCAAGAUCAAUUCUUGAAAGACUGAUCCGGAGGAGGUAGGGGUUUGAAAUGAUACAAAUUUUGUCAAUCACUUAUUAUUUGGCAUCUCAGUAUCGAUCAUCUAGAUUAAUGACACAUGUCUUUUUAAAUUAAUCUUUAUUCUUGGUAAUAAAAUGAGCAUGUGUCACUCAUCUAAAUGAUAUGUAUUAAAGUGAGCAAGUAAAAAGUGGUCGGCAAAUUGAAUGGUCUCUACUCAUUUGAUUAAUAGUUCCUCUUUUAUGUUAUUAACACACCUAAUUUUGCAAUCCACACACUUUAUGUAUUGUCCUAUCACUAUAAAUUUGAUUGUAUUUACAAAAUUACCCCUUAAAGAUUUAUAAAGGGGUGUGUGUGAAUAGCAAAUUUAGGUGUGUUAAAAGCAUCUCCAACAGGGCCGGUCUUGAAUGAUUAAAGACCCCGUGUGAAGAAAAUCUAUGGGCCCCUUGUAUCAAAUUUUUUAUUGGUAUAUCAAACUUUUUUUAAUUCAAAAAAUACCCUUUUUGUUUCAAAUAUGUUAAUAUACUCUUAAUAUUGUUAUCUUAAAACCCUCUAAUAAUGUUUUCACUUAAUUAUAUAUAUAUAUAUAUAUAAUUUUCUUUUCUUUCAAGGAAAGCCAUUCUUUUUCUCAACAUGGUCUAAUCAAUUGUAUUGUUCAUACUAAUCAUUUAGAUCAUGGAAAUGUCGAUGAUCCAAAAAAUGAAGCAACAACCUCCUAUAUCACAAAUAAGGACUUAAGAGUGAGUGGGUUUGACGAUAACCGCUCACACCAGAAAAAGUACACACCAAGCCUAGAUCCAAACUCGAAAAAAAUUGAUCUGGGUUGCUGGGCAUCCAGACCAAGGCACAUUUUGUAACUAUUGACCACCCAACGUAGUGCAACGCACCACCAUUCGCAGAUUUAGGUUGUUGCAAACCCAUAUCGGAUGACUCCCCACAGAGGUGCAUUGAUCUGGCUGAAAUUCUUUGCUGAAACACACGAUUCUCUUCUUUGAUCCCAGGAACCGUAGGGACAAUCUCACUACAUCCAACAACCGUAUAACAUGAUUUCUACCGCAGACCAUGUGACACCCUGACCCAAAAAUUUAUAUCAAUUUUAAAUUAAUAAAUCCAAAUCUUAAACGAAAUGGGAACUCAAAACUUGAAUAAUAUUUCGAGCAUUUGAACCUUAAUCAAUUUCAAGAACCAUGUAUACUGAUACAUAAAGCACUCAAAUUUUACAAAUCACAUAUUGACUACGUACAUUGAGUGUUGUCACCAAUAUAAUCAUUUAACCACAAGAUCAAACAUUUACAAAUACACAAGUAUACAGACAUGAAAUCAAUUUCCUACAUAUACUAUCACACCGACUAGUGUAUUAAAUUUUUAAUCAUUAACCAAACAUUGAUCGCGGCUCAAUUCUAACCACAACCCUCCCAAAGUAGUUUCAACCCUUUGGAGCAUAUUGCUCUCUAUAACCACAAUCACCCUCCCACUAAAAAUAUAACAUGGGUCUCAAAUAACCCGAUUUACGUCAUUAACCAUUAAAAUAUAUCAAAAUCAGACUUCUUCCACAUAAUACCCUAGAUUCAACUUUACUUGCCCUUAUCUUACCAGAAGAAAUCUAAAAUAAACUAAGCUUGCAAUCAUAAAAUAAACACAGCACCAAUAUCACCUUUCUGUCAGAAAGAAACUAAAUGGUCUUAAUGAUAUGUCCAACAUCAAACACAUAUUUCCAAAGGUUCACAAUAUAUCAACUAUACCUCAAAAACUUACACAAAUCUAGGAUUAUAAAAUGCUCAAUUUCAUACUAAAACUUCACUAGACCUUGUAAAUCAUCUUAAUUCAAACCAUAUCUCUUUACUUGUCCAAAAAUUAAUGAUUAUAAACUACUAACAUGAGAUUCAUAUUUGAAAUCAUUAAAGAAAUUGGAACAGUCUUUAGAAGAAACUACAGUAAUCAAUCACAUCCAGCCAUCAAUGUGAUCAGAUUUCAAAUAAAAGACUUCUAUCAGAACCACAAAAGAAAUUACCAAAUCAAGAUGCCAUCAAACAUCCCACGCACAUAACCCACAUAACUCGUUAGUUUUAACAUAGAGUGCGGUUAUUGGGACCUUCAAAUUUGCUCACUUGACCUCCAUUUGUUAUGAGUUAUUGAAUGACAAUUAUCUCCUCUUACGUAAUGACUAUUAAGGACAAUAAUCAUAUAAAAGGAAGUAUAUUUAUUCUCUCUAGACUUUCCAAUUCGAUAAUUAAUCGAUUGUAUUCUUUAUUAUUUUCUUUAUAUAUUUUUAGUUUCUAAUUUACUAUUUUCUAAAUUUUACUACAUAUUAUAUAUUUAAUUAGAGCUAGAACUAUGAUCAAUAUUGACCGUGUGACAUAAACUUUUCUAUUAUCAUACAUGUUGAAAGCAUAUAUAUACAAGAUGAAGGAAUAUAUAUAUGCAAAAACAAAUCGAUGAUAAAAAAUUAAAUAACUAUUGAAAUAAUUUCAUGUACAUAAAAUAGAGGAAAAAAAGAACAUACAUAGUAUACAAUUGUUAUCCUUGAUCGUUGUUUAGCACAAGUAAAAUAAAAAAAAAGUUAAUUUAUGUUAGAAUAUUUUCUUGUUGGUAAAUAUAAGUUUUUUUUUAUCAGAUAAACAAUUAAUAUGCUACAACGAGUCUGCUGUGAAUCGAACUCACCACCUCUCACUUAUAAGGAGAGAUGGUACUGGGCAGGUAAAUAUAAGUUUUUGAAACCCAAUACUUUGUGUUAUUUGAUUUUAAGAGAAAAAUUGACGUCAUUGAAAUUUUUUUCUUACAAAAUUGAUCAAAUAAUAGAGGUUUGGAGACAUUCUAUGGGAAAUAAAAAAUAUCAAGGAAUUGAGAUCGUGAAAGAGGUUUGAACGAAAAAAAAUAUUAAGGAAUAGAGGUCUCGAUGAUAGCAUGCAAAAAGAAAAAAUUAAAAGAAUGGGAGGUCCAGAGAAUAAAUAAGAGGUAUAAUGAGUAAAUUAUCAAGAUAUAUGUGAAUAACAUACCUAAGGUUAUUUUAGGAAUUUAAAAGGAGACCUAGUGAGCAAAUGCUUGUAAUUAAAAUUAAAAAAGAGGUGUAAAAAACAUAAAAGAUAUACUGAGCAAAUUUGGAGGUUCUAAUAGCCGCACUCUUUAACAUAUUCUAACGUCCUAACACUGACCCGAUUAACCACAAUAACUAAAAUUAAAUUGAUAUCAUUCUAUUAAACAUACACACAAGUAGAAUUCAUGUUAGUUAGCUCUUACCAAUAUGUAGACCUGGAUGAGUGGAGAGUUUUUUUACCCAUGUCGAUAUGAGACAACAUCUUAACAUCGCACUGUGGGAGUCGAUGAGCUCUCUCAUUUACCAACGGUUGAGAUUUCUUCCCGACGGUUCUAGAGAGACGAAGAGAAAAUUAGAGAAAGUGAGAGAAAUAGAGAGAGUUCUAGAGAGGAAGUGAGUGCGCGAGAAGUUUCCCCUCAAUCAAACCAAGCUCCUCGUUUUUAUCGUCUAUCGUCUAACGUAUAAAAUUAAAAUGCGCUCAUUUUAAACCUAAUGCAAAGAUUUCCAGCCACUCCUAUCUAACUCCCAUGUAGCGAUCAUGUCUAUUGUUUGCGGACCUUGAUUAGUGUACAACUCAGUAUAACUGAGAAUUAAAGAGAAGCAAUCUUCCAUCACUUGUCUCAGAAAAGGAUCAAGGAAAUCAAGGCCUCCUUGUCCUUGUUGUUAGGGCCCGCCUAACCUCAAGACAAACUAGAUAACUAGAUUGGGUGAUAAGGGAGCCCUUCUAGUGAGGACCUUUAAGUUGAGGACUUUUCGGUUUAUGGUUUGAAAUGCCCAAUUUUCGAUCACAUUUUGACAUCUUAUCCGUUCAGUUUUUAGGUUUAUAUGAGUAUAUCAUUUAUACAAAUUUUCACCCAAAUUGAUGUUCGUUAAGAUAACAAACUAUAUCAAAUUAAUGGACGAACCAAAUCUGUCAAAUAUGAACCGUUCAAGUUCAUAAUUGAUAAAUCACAUUUAUGAAUGUCUUAACAAUUUUCAAUAUAGCUGAAAAUUUGAAGAAAUGAUCUACUCAUAAAUACCUAUAAACUGAACGGUCAAGAUGUAGAUAUAAGAUCGAAAGAUGAGAUAAGCCGAAAAGUUAUCACCAAGUUCUCAACUUAAAAGUCUUCACUAAAAGGGCUCUUUCGGUGAUAAUACCCCUAGGUCCCGAAGGGCUUGAAAGGGAUAAAGUCAAAAAUCGCACCCUAGCCCAACUACAGCCAUGCAACCUUAAAGGAUAGGCUCAGCCUAGUCCAACAAGAUGUCAAGACUAGAUCCGACAGACGGGGCUGAUGUUCGACGAUGCCCGCUGCAACUCCGCCUUCAUUACUCUGCCAUCUCGUUAGCCAGACCGCGUCGCCACAAGCUUCGCAUACCCGCGACACCGCAUCGCCGCCUUCCGACAACGCCUCCAUAAUCCAUAGCAACCCAAAGAUCAGAGAUUCCCAUCCGUCAAAUUCGACCAUGUUUCUACAACGUCAAUCAAUGUCACCGGUAAGCUUCUCCAAUCUCUUGCAACGCCAGCUUUCAAACACCCAACCCCAUUACCAGAAUCAUAGUCAAGCACCCCGCACAACCAAACCCUGCCAAUCCAAAGCGAGACUACAUGGCCAUACCGCAAAAUCCGUCAGGCACCAAAGCUAGGAGGCUUCGACUAAUCCAAAGGACUUGUCUAGGCCAGCGGCUGCCGUCGAACGAGAGAAGUCUUGAAGGUUGGAAACUGCCGGUGGGAGAGAGUUUUGGCUGUUAGGGUUUUGUUAUUGGAAAUGUAUAUCUACUAUUUUUGCAAUUUGUGAAUAAUUCAAUGCAGCAUAAUUUCAACUUCCAACUUAUUGGUCAGUCACGACUCACGACACACAAAAAGAGGGAAAAGGGUUAUUUCUAUAGUUGGUGCUUGUGCAUAGCUGCUGGUUUGUCACCUCUAGUUGUAUAUGAGCAUUCGGACCAUUCCGGUGACAAAAUGAGACCCAUGAAAACUAAUAACGAAAAAAGAAAGCCAAAAUCCUUAGCAUCGCUGCUUCCAUCAGUGAUCAGUUCAUGAGCCUUGAACAACGGAACUACACAACAGAGGUCUCUCUCUUCGUCUCUCAUCACAAGUCUAAAUGAAUUCAUUGAUAUAUGUUAUUCUGAUCAUGAUGACGGUUUUCAUUCUUCAAUAAGCCUGUGUUUUCUUCAUCAUCUUUCUCAUUGCAUACACCCAUUUCUACACCAGUCAGCAUCUUGGCCUUCAAAGCCUCAGCCUCCCAAUCAGUCUUCACCAGCACAACAUAGAGAAUAGACACAGCACAAGCUACCUGUGCAGACAACAGACCAAACCAAAGUCCUGCAAACCCAAUCUUGAGCCAGAAAGCAAGUCCAACAGCUACAGGUGUACCCACAAAGUAGAAGGAACCUAAGUUGAUACGGGCACCUACGGCAGGGCGUGCGGUGCCGCGUAGGAUGCCGCAACCAGUAGUUUGGGGGCAGUUACCUAACUCACAAAGCCCCAUAAUUGGCAUAACUGAUGCAACCAAAACUUUGACGAGCUCGUCCUUGGUGAACAGGCCAGCCCACCUCUCUCUAAGAAUCACCGUCCAUGUCACAUUGAUGACGCCGAUCACAAAUGCACAUCCCAAAGCAACCAUCGCUGCAAGCUUGGCCUUGUAUGGCUUCCCAGCUCCGAGUUCGUUCCCAACCUAUAGCAUCGAAACAUGAAACAAAAUAACAUAUGCAUUAUAUUCUUUAAGUAAAAAUUAGAGAGAGUAAAGAAGAAAGGGGUAGAUGCAUAGUUCUACAUUUGCCUUCAAUUUCAUAUAUCCUUGCCUUCAAUAUUUAGUUAUUUACUCAAUAUGCGUAUAACGCAUCCACUAUGGUCAUUUCCGAAUCUACAAAAUGAGUUCCUCUUCCUCUGUGAAUUGGGGCAUAUUAAAUGGAAACCUAGAUACAAUCUACAGGGAUUACUAAAAACUCAUACCAUCUUUUGUCAAUGGAUAGAUCUGAAAACAAUCGACUUCACACCAUAAAUCCUUCCGGUGUCACAGAAAACACAUGCAGUAUAGUAGUAAAUCAACAAGAAAGACAAUCAUUGUCUUGUCAACAAGAUUGUGCUCAUGGCCACUAAGCUACAUAUUCAUAUCUUUUUGGGUCCCAAGUCCCAAACUCCCAACUCUAAAAUGGUGUGAAGGGUGUAAUAGUAUAUACAGGUCCUGCUGGUUCACUUUGUUUUGUUGGUUGAAUGGGGCUUCGUCAUAGAAGUGGUGGGAGGGGAGCUUUAAGAAAAGGAAGGAGCAUAGUGUAAGUAGUGGCAUGGCACUGCAUGUCCUAUAAUAAUUUUGUCCUGUCAUGCUUAUUACAUUACAUUACAUUACAUUACACGUUUGACCUAUCUGGUUCCAUAUAAGUGAUGAAAUCCCAUAACAGAUCCCUAAAAAGAAAGCAAGCAUAUCUCCCAUAAACCCUUUAGUUCCACCAUGGACAUGAAUUGGGAAUAUAUGCAACUCUAAUUGCCGUCUUUUUCCCCAUGUUUCUAUUUGGUCCUUUAAAGGACGACUAAUUAAUUAAGAAACCACACUAGCUAUCACAACUCAGAACAGAACCCAAAGAAUUUGUUCUGCAUAUAUAGAGAAUUGUUGAAAUAUCAUAAUCAAACACAUUCCUCAAAUAGUGGACCAACUGACCCAUCCAUAAACCAACAAUACGACAAACUCAACUGUGCAAACUACAAAGUGACCCAAAACAAACUUGGAACAAACUUCAAACUUCAAACUUCAAAUUGGAGGCAAUGCACUUGGUCUGGUUCAAGAAAUGAAAGUAGAAGCAAUGAAGAAAACCCAGAAAAAUUGCAAGUGGAUGAACAAAAAGAGCCCCGAAGAAAUAAAGAAAAUUAUCUUUGCAUACGGUAAAGCAUAAAAGCAACAGAAACCCAGAAAGAAACAAGGCAGGAUUGUGUCUGAGAUAUGAUUUGAACCAAUAAACUGCAUAGGAAAAGAGAAAGCUUACUCUGGCAGAAACACAGCCAGCCAGUGCCAUGGGGACAGUGUACAUCAUAGAGGUGGUCUGAAUAAGAAUCCCGGUGGCGGCGACAGCCAGAGUUGGGUUGGGCAAAUAGCCGGCCAUGAUUGUCACAAUCUCAUACCACCACCACUCCAAACAUAUACCCAAGCAGCUCGGCACCGCCAGCUUCAACAGUGGGCCAAGUCCACCAAACACCUCUCCAAUCCCAGCCGUCCAUCUCAACACCGUCAUUCCCUUCCCCCACCACACGUACCCCGCCAUGAGCACCACCAUGUUGAGAUUCGUGAGCACCGACGCCACCGCCACCCCGGGGACUCCCAGCCCCAUUUGCUUCACCAGGACAAGAUUCAGCGGCACGUGGAAGGCCACUGCCACCAGGGUGCAGUACAUCUGCGGCUUCGUCACCUUCUGCGACCUCAGGAACACCCGCAGCGGCUGCAGCAACGUAUUCGUUAACAGGUCCGGGAGGGAGUAGAGGCAGUAAGUUGCAGCCAUGGCGGUGAUGGCUCUGUCUUGCCCCGCGAAAACCAUGAUCCUCUCGAGAUUGAGCCACAGCACGGCGAUGGGUAUUGUUGCGAGGACGAGGAUGAGCACCAUGCGCUGCAGGGACCGAGUGAGGAGGUCCCAGUUCUUGUUGCCGUAGGCUUGGCUGCAAACGGGUUCGAGGCCAGAGGCGAGACCCACCAUAACAGAGUAACCGGUGAUGUUGGUGAAACCAAUGGACAGGGCGCCUCCGGCGAGCUCCAUGCUGCCCAGCCGGCCCAGGAAUACUACCGACACCGCGGCUCGGACGAACACCAGACAGUUCAUGGCUGUUAUGGGAAAGGCCAUGCCCCAUAGCUCUCGAAGUUCUUCCAAUACCUGAAAGUUGAUUCAUGUUUUAGAGAGAAACAGAGAGGGAAACUAAAACAGAGAGAUAUCAUAUUGGGUGUUUUUUGUUUUACCUGAGAAGCACAAGGGAAUUUGUGCGAGUAGAAAUCAUCAGGGUCUUUCUCAGUUGCCAUUUCUAUUGCAUGCGCAAGGGCUACUGCUGUUAAUAGAACAACAAGCAAUCUGCAAGAUCAAAAAGGUUGAUUUGAAACAGUAGGUUAGAGAGAACCCAACAACUUGGGAAUCAAACUUGACCCAGAUUCAACAAAGCAAAUGAUUAUAAACAGCAAGAAAUUUGGGCAGAAGACUUGCUUUCUGUUAGUUCUGCUCUCGAACCCAAAACAGAAAAGGAAGAGGCUCAAAAUGUAGAGGAGGGGGAAACAAACAAAUAAAGAGGAUGGAGCAGAAAGGCAGCGAACAGUGGAAUGGGUUGGAGUGAUUUCAGAUGUCAAUCAAAGCAAAGCAAAGCACAAAGUUGGGAUUCCUUUUGGAUGAUGUGCAAUUUCACUGAAUGGAGGGAAAAAGCAGAGCAAGGCACAGGGCUAAUGACGGCCGCUAGCUUACAUAGACUGGGAGGAGACAAUAGAAAAUAGACAAGACCAGAGUUGGACUAGACUUGAAGCAGUACUGAAACGUUACAAUAAGGCACAGAGAGACGAUGGAAGGAAACAAACGCUUUAUGAAUGGGGAGGUAAAGGGCCAAGGACUACACUGGGAGAAGCAUUUUCGUUCAUGCGGGGUAGGAGAAACCAUUGUUGUACCAAUCUAAUAUAGUAAUUUUUGUGUGCCCUUAAAUACGUGUAGAAUUAUUCCGAGCAUUCAAUACUUAUUUAUAUAAAAUAUUUAUAUAAAUAGGGUGGUGAUAUUAACACAUAUUUUUUUGUUAUUAACAUAUCUUAUCUAUGAUGAUAGCCAAUCAUGAAAAUGACAAGUUUGUAAAUAAAUUUGAAAUGUGUGGAUAGUAAAAUAAAUGAGGUAUGUUAAUAGCAAAAAAAGACGUGUUAAUAGCAUCAUCCUAUAAAUAGCAUUAUUGUCAAUGAAAUUUUCCAAACGUUUAUGUAUUUUGAAGCUAUAUAUACAUAUUUUUUGAGGAGAUGAUAUACGUAUUUUGAUGAUUUAUCUAAUAUCAUUUUGUUUAAUUUUAUAAAUUUCUUAUGAAAAAAACAUAAAACUGAGCUGUUAAACGUGGAGUGUUUUUUUUUGUUGGCACGUCCUCACGCCCGGUUACAUAUAUUUUAUUAAUAACAAUAUAUUGUUGCGGGGGAACAUAAAACCUGAACCUUGAGCUACAUUAGAUAAAUAGCUAAUAUUCUCAUAGAGAACAUUGUUCAGGCAAAAUUGAUUCAUGUGUGCCCAAAAGUCCAAAACUAUGAAAAUUGGCUUGUGUUUACAUAUGAUUUUAUUACCUUCAAUCCAUGUUCUUUUGUUUGUAGGAAAUAAUGCAAUGAGAGGAAAGCACCCACUUUUUGGUUGGAAAGUGACAAAGCUAGGAGCACAAGACGUAGAAUUUGGGCGAGAAAACACAAGUUGAGAUUUUCUGACUAACUUUUCCGGUGAACUAUUCCAACGAUGUAAUACCUUGAGUUUUUGUUAUUAAUUUCUAUUAUUAUUUUGGAAAUUAUCAAGUUAGAAGUUAGCGGGAUACGUGGCUCGAGAGAAGAGCAGGAGUGUUCGGAACGAUUAUUACAUAGAAGAGGAUUUAUCAUAAGGGUCAAACAGUUGACUUUUUAUCUGUUGGGUUUCUCGUAAACUUCCUUUUUCAAAAUUGUAGAGCACGACGAUACGAGUUCGUAGACACGUGGCACGCGUGAAACGGACAUCGUAUGAGAAAGUUACAUUCAGUUAAAGUUUAGUCGUUGAUUUGAAAGGGGGUAUAAAUAGAAAUAUUUUGGGGUAUUUUCAUAAAAACCCUAACUUCAAAAAAAUCAGAUUUCUCUCCCCAUUCUCCAUUUUUUUGCCACCAAACUUAUUCCGGCCAUAACUCGGUCGUCCGGUGACGGAUUUGUGCGUGCUUGGUACCGUUGGAAAACUCUCACUCCCCUUUUUCUAUUCAUACUAGCCUCACACCCUAUGGAGCACUGUGCACGGCGCAACAAGGCCCGCAAGUUAUUGUCUUCGCCAGCGGUGAAGCUCUGACCGAUUCUGACGACAUCGAGGUUUGAGGCUACCCGUUUCUAGAAGUUCUAGCUUAUCCUUCUGAGCAUGAUGAUACCAGCCUUGGAGCCCAAUUCGAAGCGUGGAGCUUUUGGGUUCAAAGUGUACCUUGUUUCUUUCCGACGACGUUUUCGGCUGAAUUGGCUUUUGGCCACCUGUAUGAAAAGUGUUUCAUUUGAUGUGAUCUACAAGUUUGUUAUUAAGAGCUUGCCUAGAUUUUGAGGUUGUAGGGACGGCGCGUGAGGCCCACUCAUCCCGUUUGUGGUGGUGCGUGGCCGUGCAUCCGGCAGGGGUUGGGAGGUCUGUGGUAAUUGUUAGCUUCUACUCAUCGAUAUGAGCACGUUGACAUGUCAUGAGGUUAUGUUUUGAUCAAGUAAUGCAUUCUAAGUUUAAGGUUAAGUUGAAAAUCAUGUAAGGUUAAGCUAUGGAGAUCAUUUGGGUACCAAAUUAGAUUAAAUGAAUUAAUUGAACAAUAUAUUUCUAACGGAAACCGUUCGUGUAAAUCACAAUUACUGAAACUCAAUUGAACUCUAAAUUGGAUGAAACUUUGCAGGAAUAUCUACACACUAUGUUCGAGACACUGAAUGGUGGAGAUGUGAAAAUGUGACGUAAAAAUGAGUGAAAUGAGAAGCACUACACUUUAAUUUCAAAGCGGUGUCCUGCUCUGAAAGAAAACUUUAUAUAUAUAUAUAUGCCUUUUCAGAUACAAACAUCCUUAUUUAUUCAAAAUGUACGGAUUUUCUUAAUUUGACCCACUUUUCUAUCCUAAUUUCUCAUCUUAACCGUUGAAAUAGUAGGUAUAUAUGAGUAGAUCAUCUCCACAAAUUUUCAGCUAAUUUGGUGAUCGUUAAAGUAUCGAAAAUGAAUUAAAUCAAUGAACGAAUUGAAACUGUUCAACCUGAACCGUUCAUGUUCUUAGUUCUAAAUCACAGUUUUGAAUGCCUUAACGAUUAUCAAUUUGGUUGAAAAUUUGUAGAGAUGAUCUACUCAUACAUACCUAAAAGCUGAACGGUUAAAAUGAGAAAAUAUGAUCGAAAAGUGGGUUAAUUAAAUAAAUCUGUACCUUUUGAAUAAAUAAAGAUAUUUGGACUUGAUAAUAAUUAUAUAUAUAUAUAUAUGUGCUUAUCUUGUCUUGCAAAUUAUUAUUCUAUAUUUCUUGUCAACAAUUUAACCAAAUAGAUUCACCUUCUGAGCAACUGUCCUUUCUAGAUGGUCUUGUGUAAAUAAUUUUUUUACAUAUAACUAGUAUAAGCCAACAACUUAUUGUAUGAACAUGAAACAAAGAAUUUCUCACAAAGCAGAAAUGUAUAUAAUCUACUGAUAUUUUCCUCAGUAGUCAAAUGAAACUAUUCUUAAUUUGAUUGAUGUAGUUUUGAUAUUAAUUAAUUAACUGAUACAUGAACAAAGAUAUAUGAAAGUCUCUAUUUUCUUGUCUUGACCACAAGAAAAAAAGAGAAGUUUAUGUUUGAUUAGAAAAGUUGCACGGACGUAGGUAUAAGGUUUAAAGCAUCUCCAGCAGCAUUGAUAAAUUGAAAAAAAUUAGAAAUUUAUCAAUUUUUAAAUAAAUUUUUGCUCCAGCAGUAUACUUAAGAAGUUGAUAAAUUUAGAAAUUGAUAGAGAAAAUUGAUAAAUUUAUCAUUCUUUGGGAGACAAUUAACUAAAACUUAACUAAUGUAUACAAUUUAGCAAUACUAUUGGAGCAAAAGUUCAAAAAUUGCUGUUGUAAAUUUAAAUGUUGAUAAAUUUAGCAAUAAAUUUAACUCUAUUACUGGAGAUGCUCCUUUGGAAAAUCCCAUCAUGAACAAAGAUAUAUGAAAGUCUCUAUUUUCUUGUCUUGACCACAAGAAAAAAAGAGAAGUUUCUGUUUGAUUAGAAAAGUUGCACGGACUUAGGUAUAAGAUUUAUACAUAAAAGAUAAUACAUAGAGCCCCUUAGGAAAAUCCCAUCAUGAACAAAGAUAUAUGAAAGUCUCUAUUUUCUUGUCUUGACCACAAGAAAAAAAGAGUGUUUGAUUAGAAAAGUUGCACGGACGUAGGUAUACGGUUCAUACAUAAAAGAUAAUACACAGAGCCCCAUAGGAAAAUCCCAUCGGUUUACAUUUUACACACACAAGACAUUUUAUUUUUUGUCACAUCCCGACCCUUAAAUUUUUACUUUAUUUACUAGCUUGGUUAUAAUAAGAAUUUUACAGUCUCCGUCAAUGAAUUUAUAGUUUAAUUGGUCCUUAGAGGGGUUUGGAGGACGGUUAUUUUCGGAGAAUUAUUCGUAGGAGAAAAAUACGACGACGAUAAAAAUUAUAAAUUUUAGCUAGUAAAAGGUAAUUUUUAUUAGGGUAUUAUUUUUCAGGGUGUUUUAUUUUUGGAGUUGGGUUUGUUGUGGAGUGGGUUUAAGUUGGACCAGGUGUGGGAGAAGCCCAACACCCACAUACUCCUCUCUCCUCUCCCGAUUUCCCUCCCCCAAAACCUUUCCCCCCCCCCCCCCCCCGCCCUGCCAGACUUUCCUGCCGUCCGCCCACCGUUCGUCGCCGCUCUGGUCCCAAACGGUCGUCCUCCGACCCAGCUUCCAUUCUAGGCCGGUGAGAGCUGCCCAAGCUCCGCCGUGAAGGAGUUCUCUCCCCCGAAGGCCCGACUACCGUGGUGGUUCCAUCGCCGGAACUCCCUAAUCCGGCCGCCAUAACCGGCGAUUCUUGGUCCGUUGGAAAGCUCUCCUCCCGUGCAUCAAUCCCUCCACAGAGCUCACCCUCUCUUGAGCUAGGUAAGGAGAUGUGUGGAGUUGAAUUUUCUAGGGUUUUUUAGGACGUUUUAGUUCGAUUACCUUAGUUAGGCUUGUAAUUGAUGUUUGUGCUAGUUAAGAAAGUUGUAGAGGGGGUUGAGAGGAAGAUGCUGUCAAAAUCUCAUAGACAUUGGAGGUUGCCGGAGUUGGCCUCUGGCCGCCGCUGUUUGAGAGAUUUUUAUGGUUUUAAAUGUGGAAUAUUAAAGGGAGUUUAUUGAUGUGAAUUAUGGAAUUUUUGGAGGAGUUUUGGUUAGGUUUGUGAAUUUCCGAUGUUUGGUAUUUUUGGCGGUUAAUUAAUGUAGAAUCCGUCUGUAGGAUUAAAGUCGUUAAAUCUGUGGGAGGUUGUAUAACGGCUGCCAAUUUUAGUAUUAAAGUUUGGAUCGUUUCGGUUUAGGAAUAUCGAAGUUAGGCGAGAAUAAGCGUGGUUACGGCUCAUAUUUAUUUUGCCUAUUUUUGAGUAACUAUUGGAAUUUCGGUUGGGAAAUUAAUAUUCUAUUUGGAAGAGGACGUGAGGAGGCUCGAGCAGACGAGGCCCCAGAUCGACAUCAGGCUUAGGCCUAAUUUACGAGUGGACUUUUGUUUUAAAUAAUAUGCAUGCUAUGGUUAUGGUUGAACAUUUAAAUUGUUGGAGUUUUGACGUCAUUUAAUUUUGACGCUUUUAUUUCUCUUGGAGAGUUACCGAAAAAUAGAAUUUUUCGGUGAGUAUAAAUAUGUAUAUUGAAGAGAGUAUGUAUAUAAAUGCUAACUAGCCAUAUGUGUAUGUCCACAUUAAUGGCGUAGCAUAUAGCCACAUUAUGGCGUGACGUGAGCGUAGUAGCCAUAUAUGAGUGUUUAAUUCAUAUAGAGAGUAUGGACACAUAUUUAUAUACCCGUCUGUCCACUUUAAUGGCGUAGUGUAGCACCGCAUUAAGGCAUGACAUAAGCGUUGGACGCGAGCGUAGUAGCCUUAUAUAGACCCAUGAAUUUAUAUAGGGAGUAUGAACGUGUGUAAAUACAUAUAUAUAUUUUAGAGCCUGAGAGGCUCGAUAUUUUAUGAGAUUAAAGUUUUAUCGCUUGCAGCAUGCAUUCGAUUUUUCCUUGGAAAUUGAUUUGGGGAAACAUAGAUAUUUUAUUUAUUAAUUUAUCUUUGUCCACUCACUCUAACAUUUUCGAAUGUUUUUCCCUGGACAUUUCGUUUUAAAACGCCCAGUCUGCAGAGUUCGGGUUGGAUCUAGUAGAAGGCGAGGCAUAGUCACCCGCAUUUCCACCACUUUUCAUCAGUAGGUUACCUAAUUAACCUACUCGUGUUUUCCUACUUCCACUAGUGUCUAGUAGCUCUGAAUACUUUGAGAUUAAUGUAAAUUAUUUUGGUGGUGUGCUCGGUCUGUCGAUUUCUGUUUAGAGUUUCUGAAGGAUAAGGUUUACUAUUUUAGCUGGAUAUUUAUGUGAUGUUUGGAUGUUGAUGUAUUGUUGAUAUUGUGGCGGUUGUGUUUGCGGGGAGCAGAUGGCUCCAGGAGUUAAGGUUGGAUGUGUUUUAGUAGGAGUGUAAAUUUGAAAUUUUCAGGUUAGGGUUGUCCAUUUUCAAGGGAGAUUUUGCCAAUUUUUCUGUAAAUCUUUUCUUGGGAGUGGUCCCCGCAUGAUUUACUUCGGGUUUCAGGAUGAAAUUCGGGGUGAGUCUUGAUAUUUUUGAGCUAUUCGUUCAACUACAACCACAAUAAUGGUUGUGGUUAGCUCAUAAAUGAACCAAUAUAUACAUAAGUAGAAUACUCAGAACUCUAUAUAAGAACCAGUCUUCUCAUAGUUGAGACAAGUUAGUGACGGCUAACCUUGACUCCAACAUUAAAAGAUAAAAGUGACACUCAAUUCAAGAUGCCAAGACGAGUUUCUCUCUGCUCUCCCUUAUAGACACAGCCGUCUAGGGUUAGGGUUUUCAAAAGAAAAUCCCUCGUCGUUUGGUGCUUCUCUCCAUGGCAGCUUCAAUUGCUUCAAUGACAGCAAGCCUUGUCUCCAAACUCUAUCUCGGAGAUGAACCUGUGGAUCUGGGAGAUCUCAAAAACCCUUCCAAGGGCUUCGUCGCACCACGCUUCUUCUUGGUGUGAUGUCUCAACACUGCCCAUGCAGUGGUGUUUGAUGCCUUUCGUAGUGCAGUUCGCGGUAUGUGGCGCAUUACCACUCCGGUGGAGGUGCAAGCAAGAGGAGAUCGAUUCUUGUUCACCUUCUCCAAUGAAAGAGAUCUGAAUCGGGUGAAGAAAGGAGGUCCUUGGGCUUACCAACCAACAAGCUAUGAUCUUGAUCAAUGAUUACAAUGGCUUUUCUGAUAUCAUGGUUGUCCCAUUGAAUUUUGUGUGGAUAUGGGUGGAAAUUGAGGGACUUCCGGUUGCCCUGAUGACGGAGGCGACGACUAGACUUGUGGGAGAGACCAUUGGUACCGUGCUGUAAGUCGACACCCUGGGUUUGAACAGAGGUGUGGCUAGGGUUCGUAUUAUUCUACUUAAUAACCCUGUAAGAUUUGAAAGGAGAAUUAGGGUUUCCCCUGAAGAUGUUAUUCUGGUCAAGUAAGUAUAAGCGACUACUUAGCCGAUAUCGUAUUUGCUGGAUGAUUAAUCAUGGAGGAAGGUCUUGUCCAUGUGAAGCUGAAGAUGCUGUCGCUGUCCAACCUCUGGCUCCGGCAGCGCCUCUUGCUCCGGCUCCUAUGGUGUUCAGGGUCAACUCUUCUCAGGUCUUAAUCCCACCCUCUCCUUUGAUACCUUCCUUCUCUCCCCUAUUUGGAAAAGAGAAGCGUUAUGUGCAGAUCAGGGCAAUCCCAGAAUUCCCAUCUCUGGUGAAACUAGCAGGAGUGAGGUGUAUGAGGGAAGAGGAGGUCCCGAAAGUAGGGAAGCGAACCAAACAUAGCCUUGCAGUGAUCCCAUUCCAACUGGAAACAAAAGUCUUUGAGUUCGUAGUUGGUUCUGAUGGUGCUCUAGGUAUCAUGAAAAAGUCACUAAAGAAGAGGGGACGCCCAUGCGACAGCAAGAACAAAAAGAGGAACAUGGAAGUGAUAUCGAAAUCCAUGGCAUUCGGGUAUGGUGAUUCCGAGUAGGAAGCCUCUCUAAAGGCAGAGGUGGAGUAGUCGCUCCAAGGAUGGAACAAAGAUCCCUACUCAACUUAAUAGGAGGUCCCCCUUACUCAUCGACGGACAAGUACACCGUUGAGUCUCUAGGCCUCAUGUUGAUGUUUAGGUCAUCAAUUCUGUUUGUGUAGGUUCAUUGCUUUCUAGUUGUAAUCGUCUACCUUUUUGGACGGCUUUUGUGGUUUUCCCCUUUUAGUCUUAGUUUUAGGUGAAUAAAGAGUUUACUCUGAUAGCUUGUAAUGGAGUUUACUCCUGCCUGACCUAGCAAUAGUUGGUCGUAUGGCUUGAAUGUCAAUGAAGUUUAUUCAUUUUCCUCAAAAAAAAAAAAAAUCCUAUAUGGGAACCGAUAUAUGUACCAUUCUUUUUUUAGGCCGAACCCACAUAUAUAUUUUUUUAAAGAAAAAUAAGUAUAAUAUAUAAUCCAACGUUACAACCAACGAUUAUAGUGGACAAGAACUGAAGGGUUCAAUAGUAACCUAACCUUAUCCAGAAGUGUCGAUACAUCCUCACAGUCAACCUCAAGAAGAAACAACUCUUUCAAACAUUAUAUGCAAAAACUACUAGUAUAUAUGCAUAGGUAACAUCCUCAUUACAUUGACAACAAGAACUAACCGACGUUUAAAUAGUCGUAGACAUAACACCAUAACCAUGGCACACCAAUGACACGACCCCGACACCAACCUAACAAAACCCUAAAUCCUCGCUCAAAAAGUAGGUCAACACCCUCGCUUAAAGAGGAAGGACAUCUAACCAUAACAAAAAAAACAAAAACAAAAACAAAAAACAGUAAAAAGAACAUAUACCAAACUAAAUUCCAGACUCAUACUUUAACCUAUCUAGGCCGAAUAUAUGUAAAAACUACCAGCAUAUAUGCAUAGGUAACAUCCUCAUUACAUUGACAACAAGAAUUAACCGACGUUUAAAUAGUCCCUAGACACAACACCAUAACCAUGACACACCAAUGAUACGAACCCGUUACCAACCUAACAAAACCCUAAAUCCUCGCUCAAAAUCUUCGCUCAAAAAGUAGGUCAACACCCUCACUUAAAGAGGAAGGACAUCUAACCAUAACAACAAAAAAAACAGUAAAAAGAACCUAGACCAAACUAAAUUCCAGACCCAUACUUUUAACCUACCUAGGCCGAUUAACGUAGCCUUGACACAAAGAAAGGAACAACAAAAACACUUUCGUCUUCUCCCCGAUCCAAGCUGCCGUUGCACCACCGCACCACCACCAUGGCCAAACUCUACUACCACCAACAUUAACCCAUGCCACGCCCACGCUAGCUUGUAUAGCUGCCAAAGAGUCAUCCCCACAAAACCCCUAAGCCAGAGCGAAACCCAGAAUAUCCAGAUUGUCUCCGACAUCCUUAAGGUCAAGCCACUAAUUUUGACAAAGUAACCAUCAAGCACACCUGACUCACCGAUCGCUGUAAGCCGCCCUUAUCCCAGCAAGAAUCCCUGAUCCAAACAAUUCACGGCCCCCCAAAAAAUCUUUAAUGCACCGUCAUCUCAUAUCAGGAAAUCCUGGAACAUGCCUCUCUGAUCGCAUCCUUCGAUCUCAAAUAACGUCAACCCACUAGACAAUCCCGUCCGGCCACACCCAUCAGACGUUGGCAUGGCCAGAGAUGUCACAGAGCCGCGGCGCAGCCAGACAAGAGAGAACUCGCACAUUGCAAAACCCUAGUUCUGCUACUUUUCCAGAGCAAUGAGUCUCUUUCUUUUUGAACCCACAUAUUUUGUGUUGUUUAUUCCAAGGAGGAUUAAGAUGCAACAUGCCCUGUCAUGGUUGGAGUAGUGAUGAUUCGGUGGUAGGUGUUAAGUCACUCGCAAACGACGAUAUUCGGUGGUGGUUGUGUAGAGUCACAAAUCUUUUAGAUUCAGAUAUCUUGAGAAAAUUAACUGAGGGAUUAGUUUUUUUUGAUCGAAUACGUUAGAGAACUUUAUUGAAAAAAUCAUCGAUUACACGGAGGGGAUGCAAGCAAACCCUGUAACUCCCCAGGAGGGGCACCGACCCAACGGGAAGGAGAAGAGCAACUAAGAGCCAAACGAGCUAGCUUAUGCGCUACCAAGUUGGACUCCUUGAAAACAUGACUAAAAAAAGAAGAAUUAAGAGACAACAGAUCCUGUUUAAUAUCCUCAACGAUCAUGCCGAAAGCAGAAUCCUCCACAUCAGACUGAGUAGCCUUUAACCAGAUUGAGACAGUCUGACUCCAAGACNN